GGUUGACCUAGUAUUAAUGUAGUUUGCAAGAUGAAUUAUAGUAUCUUUUUAUGAGAAUAUAGUUCAUAUUAUAUCCCAAUGCUAUUUUGUUGUUGUAACUAUUAUUGUCAAUUUCUAUAGAUUCGGUAAAAACUGAGCACACGGUUGACUUAUGAUGAGGCAGCACUCAGAGUUACUCAUGUAACAUAGAUGGUCCCUACCCAGCACCGUAUGGAUGGCAAACUAAAUUACUGCCACGCGUCAGAUUUUUUAAUCGGCUCGCUGAACAGCUAUAUUGCGUAUGAGCCAAUAGAAGGCUUGGCGCCUGACGAUACGGCUCAUCGCGGCAGCUCGGCAGUUUUCAUCAUAAUAAUAAGUUAGAUUAGAUGGCGUUGGCUUGUAGCCCUUGGCUCACGACUUAUUAUUUCACGUUAGUUUUAGCAGUUUUGAUUGUAAAUGGGAAAUCACAUAUCAUGACCAAAUAAAAUUAAAUUGAAGAAAGGAGAACGACGGCAACCUGCAGCACAAUCGGCAGCCUAUUUUCAUGUAGUUGUGCUGCAGCACAAUAGACAGAUACAAAAUCAUGGCACAUAUGUAUAUUAUAAAGCAUAUAUGGACACAUUUCAUUUUAGCAUGCUAAAAGGUCAAAAUUAUCCUGAAUGUGAUCACAAAAGGAGGUAAACAGCAGAGGGUCACCAAUUCAAAAAAAAAGCAAAGGUCAUCAUAACAGCAUCAAGCUUAACAUAAUAAAAGUACUGCAAAGCGGGAUACUAAUCAACAUGACAUAAUUAAAUAUUUUCGUCGAAAUAAAACUUUCUGGCAGACGAGGAUAUUGCAGCAUCUUGGUGAACUCCGAGUAAAAGAUCUGUAAAUCCUUCUCGUAUAUAAGGUGUUGAGGCACAACCAUCUUUGAACGGCAUGGAAGGCAUGGAUGAAUCAUUGCUAAAGUUUGACAUAGCACUGGUAUCACCACUGCCACCGGCAUAAGGGUCCUGUGCAUAAAAAAUUCUAGUUAGUAAAUAAAAUAGGAAAAAUAAAUAAUGAGUCAAAUGGAUGACUUACCAUUAAUUGGUUUCGAUCAGCACUUUUGUCUUUGUUUUCUGUAGCCUGAUUUGUAUCUCCUGUACAUAGAUAUUAAUAAAACUAGGAGAAUGCCCCGCGCGUUGCUGCGGGAAUCACCGGUAAAAUUAUACUAUCAUAAUAUAUGUUAGUGAAUGAUUUUCAGUAUUCUAGUAUGGACAACUAAAUAUAUGUUAGAAAAUGAUAUGGUUUGCUAAUGUGAAUAACAUAGAUAUAGGAUAAAUGAUAUGUGUUAGUUCGAUUUAUUAGUGAAUAAUGAUGUGAACACUUUGCAUGGCGGGGUAAUCUAUUAGUGGGAUGAUUUAGUGGAUGUUGAUGUGGACGCUUUGCAUAGCAAGAGAAUUAGUUAGUGGGAUGCUCUAGUGGAUGAUGAUGUGGAUGCUUUGCAUGUCAAGAGAAUUAGCUAGUGGAGUUUAUCUAUAUAAGAGAUAUAGAUAAGAGAAACGAUAUAGAAGUAGCAACGCUGGAAGCAAAAUAAGGUAGAAAAAGAUUGGAUUUGUAUACCUUUCUUAUUAGCACUUUUUUCUUUUUCUCUGUAUUUUUUUCAAAUACAUUUGUGGCCCGGUUUUUUUUUCACGCCUUUUGCCACCUGAGGAAUUUUAAACGAUAUUCGACCUUUCAAUGGGUCUGUUGCACAGUCAGUUGAAACUAGGGGAACCUCAUUGGAUUUCUCUUUCAUCUUGCUCAGAGAAGCAUUUGCUUCCAAAUCUAAUUUUCGCAUGCCUUUCUCCAAAUCAUGAAGUUCUUUUGACAAUGAACACUUCAAUGCUAUGAAUGUCGCCAUUCGUGAGAUACAUGCUACCCAUGUUUUAUUACUUUUUGUCACACUUUCAGGUUUGUCAACAUAAAAUCCUCUUUUUGCAUAUUUUGUCCAUCUUGCUAUUAUGUAUUGCGGUGGCAGAAUAAAAAUAUUAUUUGCAGUUAAGACAUUCAUGGUGUGCUUGCACAAUAUUCCUAGAAGAUAACUAAUCAAUUUACAUCCAUUUAUAUUACAUAUUAGAAACUUAUGAUAAUUGGAAAAUAUGCGCACAUACCUAUAGAUUCAAACUUUCUGAAAGAACAUGUAAUGGUCAUAUCUAGAGUGCUGAACUAAACUAUUGCUCCAUGAUUAGAGUACAUAUGUGUAACCUCGUAUGUCAAGAUUGACCCAUCAGUUUGUAAUAGUUUCUAAGAGAAUGAAAAUUAUUCUUUAAACUCGUCCUCAAACUCCGAAUACAUCCUUUUUAUAUGAUUCAGCUGCAGUCUUUAACAUGGGUAAAUUUGGGAUGCAAGUAACUGGGGUUUUUCUGCGUGAAUUAAAAUCUGCAUCCAACUCAUUUUCACGAAGACUAGUGGAAACCUUAUCAAAUUCUGCAAGGAGUUUUGAAAUUCCAAGUCUCCUCUGAAAUCUUUUUUUAAAUACAUUAUUCAUACCUUCGCUCCUUUGAGUCGAGUUCAUGUUAGCCGUAAAAGAGUCAUGGUAGACAGCAGCCCACUUUUUUCUCAAAUCAUAUAAAAUUUUCAUCCAUUGGUUGUCCUCAAGCUUAUAAUCAGAUAAUAAUUUAUUCCACUUCUGGAUGAAAAUAGCUUCAGAUCUGUCUUCAUAAACACAUCUUUUAAAAAUCUGGUAGAAACUUAUCAGGAUACUUAUGAAUUACAUGCCUCAAAUGUUUAGCAACAUUAAUAUAUAUGUGAAACAAACAAAGACGAUGGUUGGUAGUUUGAAAUACAUAAGCAAUUGCUCUUGCCAUUGCUGCAUCUUGAUCAGUGAAAAUUGUGCUUGGAUGCUUACCCGACAUGGCUUUUAGAAAGGUUUCAAAGAGCCAGGGCCGGCUCUAUAAUUUGAUGGGCCUUUGGGCAAGCAGGAAGAUAAGGGCCCGUUGAACUAAUUUUUAACAUCAAAAUUACAAAUUACUUUGCAAUAUAGCAUGAUCACUCAAAACAUAACAAUAGUCAAUAGUGUAACAAUAAAACUAAAAAUAAUAACCAUUAUGAUUACCUCAAAAAAUAUAAUGUGUCAGUGCCUUGUAAAAAACUGUCUUCGGGCAUUUCUGAUGCAAAAUCUUCAAUAAUAGUAUCAAGAUUAAUGUCGUCCAAAAUAUCCUUCUCAAUGCUGCACAUAGCCAAGCCAUUUAGUCUUUCUUGUAACAUAGUUGAUCUCAAACAAUUUUUGAGCAGUUUUAAUUUGGAGAAACUUCUUUUAGCUGAUGCUACUGUCACUCGAAUAGUUAGGAGAAUACGAUAUGCAAUGGAAACAUUCGGAUAACAAUCUGCGACUUUAACAAACUGAAGAAUCUCAAGUGCUGACAUUGGUUCUUCUCGCAAAGAUUCUCGCAACACUUUUAAUUCAGAGAAAAAAUCAUCCAACUCAACAUCAGACUUGUUGUCUUGAGAAAAAGAUUCAACAAAACUAGUGCAACACUUUCAUAGAUCAUUAUCAUCCAAGGACUUCAGAUUUACCGAGUUGAAUAAGAAACCAAAUAUUUUUUCAAAUUUCUUUAGCUGUUCAAAUCGACUAUUCAAUGAAUAAAUUGCAUUAUCAACAAUAACUAAGAAGUACUCAAAUUUGAAGAAUUCUAUAGAUGGACGUUGUAAUUCUUCAAUUUCAUCAUUUUGUUCAUCAAAAUGCUUCUUUCUUUUGACUUGACGUUUUGUAGGAAAUUUUGGCUCUAUGUCCAUACUAGAUGCAAUGGAUUUUGCAGUCUCGAUACUAGCAUUGAAGCCUUCUUCUCGGUACUUCUGAAAAUAUAUGAGAUGACCCCUUUAAUUUGUUUGAGAGCAGCAUCUAAGCACACAAUUGGAGAUUGUAAUUUCUUGCUCACUAUGUUGAUAGUAGAUAAAAUAUCAUCCCAGAUAACCAUACCAACUAUAAAUUCAAAUUUCUCAAGUGCAGUUACCAAGGAUUGAGCAUCACUUACUGUUUUUGGGUCAUCAGUAGAAGUUCUUUCCACUUCCUUCAAAGCUGCUAUUAUUUGUGGGGCUUGAUACCUCGUAGGUUGCACACUCUUUAUUCGACUCUCCCAACGUGUAUCAGACAAGGGUUUGACUGUAAACCUCUCAACAUUAUUAGUCAAAAUUUUCCACCUUUUAGUAGAGCGUGCGAACAAACAAUAUAUCCACUGUAUAACACCAAAGAAUGAAAUAGCUGUCUUGCAAGAUUUUGCCAUAUCACAAAGAGUGAGAUUCAGACUAUGACAUGCACACGGCAUAUAUAAUGCUCUUCGAUUAAUUUCAAGCCAACAUGACUGCACACCUUGAUGUUUUCCCUUCAUAUUGGAACCAUUGUCAUAACCUUGACCUCUCACAUCAUCAAUCUUCAAAUCAAGAUUCCGCAAUGCAUCCAACAAAAUAUUAAAAAGCCCCAAUCCAGAUGUGUCAUCAACCUAUAAGAACUCUAAGAAAAACUCCUCUACUCUUGGAAUGGUACUUGAUGGCUCACAUCGCACAAUUAGUAUCAUUUGUUCUUCAUGGCUCACAUCUGGGGUACAAUCCAAGAUAAUAGAGAAAUACUUGAUAUGAUUUUUAUAGCAUCGGCAAGAAUAGCAAUUAACUCAUUCUGAAUAUUUUUGCCAAGAUAGUGAUGAUGAAUUUCAUUACUCUAAAUGUGCCUAAUAUGUUCUUGCAUCACAAGAUCAAAUUCAGCAAUCAUUUCAAUUGUGGCUAGAAAAUUACCAUUGUUACGUUGAUAAUAUUUCUCAUUUGAUCCUCGAAAGGCUAGAUUUUGUUUAGCAAGAAACUUAACAGCAGAAAUUAUUCGUUCCAGGACCUGCCUCCAGUGCUCCUUUUCUUUUGCAAUCUCCCGUUGCAUUUCAUCAUCAAUUGUUUGAUUUUUGCUUAAUCUAAGUCGAAGCUCAUUCCAUUUACUCAUGUUUGUCAAAUGCUCCACACUGUUCUCAUGUGCUUUGAGCUUCUCACUGAGAUGCUUCCAAUCCCUUACUCCAUCAGAUGCUAACAAGGGCUCUCUAGAAAAUAAUCUAUUCUAUCCGCAAGCGCACAGAUAAAACACCUCAUUGUAGCAUUUCACCAGGAUAAGUAUUCCAGGUAUCGUUAUUUAUAAUUUUGCUCAAGGGAUGAAAUUAAAGUAAAGGGGCAAAAUCUAUCAAGGCGUAGACUAGAGAUAAACUUGCAAGAACAUGAUUACUAAUGAGAAACUCGUCACACAGUCACUUACUUUAGCAUGGGGUAAACCAUAAAGAUAAUGAUAAUAAAGUAUAAGUUCAUGGGUAGAUAACACAGCGAUUAGAAAAUAGACUACUCCCCAUAUAUGUAGGUGAUGUCGGAUUAGCUAGAGAAUGGAUUCUAAGUUAUCUACUAACUACUAAGUCAUAAUCUACUCUAGUUAUCUACAAGAUCAUAUAUAGCAUAAAAGACUCUUCAUUCAUGUAUAAGGAACAUUGAUAAAGUAAAUCAGAGCAUCGCAUGACUUACUCCACAAUACCGGUUCUGCCUGUCCUAUCAACGGAGGGUGGACUAUAUAAGAAUCAACGAAGCUGUAACUAUCGCGAACUACCACACGACCCGGCCAAUAGGAUACAUUUGCAGAUAAAUAACAUCUAAGCACCACGCUCACAUGUGAUCUAUCACCUAACUCCCUCGCGUCAAGAGCUAAGCGCUUUGCAAACUUAUACAUAAACUCAUUAUCAAUUAGAACUAUAUCAAAUAUAGAACUAGAGCAAACUAAGAACAUAAUAAUUAGAGACAUAAUGCAAUUAGAACAAAGAAUUAGAGAAAGAUAUGAAUAAUACCAAUCUUUAUUACCGAAGAUCCGAAUCCAGAGCGUAGUGCUCUACUUUUCUAAUUGCUAUCUAAUCAAACCUCUAAACUUGAAGGAUUAGGGAGUAGCUAAUUCUAAUUCUCUGUGGGAGAGAAGCUCUAAACCCUAACUUUGAUGGCUACCUCUGAAUAAUGAUUUCUUCUCUCCUCCUCCAGGGGCCAGGGGGUCUGGUUUUAUAGUCCCCUCAAGUGAACGUGAGCCAUUGGAUCAAACCGACAUAGAUUGUAUGGUUUAGAUUGAUCCUUUAGGUCGGUGGAGCGUUGUCCCGAGAGAGAGUCCCGAUCCAACUCCUGGCCAGGGCGGGCGCCCAAGGGGGGUGGGCGGGCGCCCUGCCCCCGAGCCCGAUUCCCUUCUCGUUUGUUCCCGCGGCUUCUGGACCCUUCUAGAUUGAGGAAAAUUGCGCGGCACGUAAUUAUCUCGUUGUAAACAUGACAUGUGGGCCUUCUCUCCAUAUUCUCUGAUAACCCCCUGCAGAAAUAGAUAAAUACCAAAGCUCGUGGAAUUCUGUCAGAUAAAACCCUAAUUCUAGAUGUUUGUUUCAUAUUGAUCCUUUUCCAUGUUUAUUUGAUUAUUAAUUUUAGUACUUAAGGACCGUCAACAAACUCCCCCAAGCUUACCCUUUGCUCGUCCCUGAGCAACUAGCUAAACUUAGACGAAUCAGAAGUUGCUUCGAUGUUUUCUUUCCUGACAGGCACACAUGCUUUUACAUAAAAUUCUUCCAGAUUAGAGUGAAGUGUUAUGGAGUUUAGUACCUGCACUCAAGUCUUAAGUAAUCGAAAGACAAAAUAAUUAAGCCAAGCACUAUUCCUCCUGUCUAUACUUCACCUUUGUUCCAGAGUUUUUCAUAAGUUUUCAAAAUAAAACUCAGAGUUCCUAGCAAUGAUUCUCUCAAGUCUCUCUAUAUGUGGUAUUUGUGGAUCCUUACCAUAAUGUCACUUACCUAUAGCUAAUGGAAUAUUUAAGUGGAGCUCAUAGGAGUGAAAAACAGCUCAUACAUAUGUUGUCUAAUCGAGCCAUGGAUCCAAAGGAACUCAACAUAUAAUUAAAUCAAGAUGUGCAUGUGUGGUGGAGUAAAUGAUAGUGAUGGUAAAAAUGUAUAAGUGAUAAUGAAACUUAGUUCUCAUUGCUCCUCAUAUUGCUAUCUCUCAUUCUUCUCUGAUCUUUGCUUUGGGAGAACAUGGGUUAUCUCUUUUUUUUUCAGGUGGGUAGUAGAUACCCCUAAUUCUACUAUCGGACACUUGUCCAUUUUUACCUCUCAUCUCACUCUUUUUCUUUUUUUUCGAGGUUCCGGGCACUUGCCCCUUUUUAUUUCCUCGUAUAUUUUUGCAUAACCCAUGCCUCUUCUGCAUUGAAUCUUUUUAGAGAGAGAAUAACAAUAUUCGGGACGGUGAGUGAUAAUAUUUUUAGCAAUUUUAAUGAAUGGUGAUGGAUAGUGUAGUAGAUGUGUGCAAGUGAAUAUCUUAAUUUAACCACAUUAAAAGCUCCUAAGGGUCUACACAGCUUGAUCAAACUCAAUGUAAAUGUAGUAAAAGAUGUUAUAGCAAGUAUGGCUGUGGUAGGUAGUUUGUUAUGCUAGGAACUCAUCAUGUGACUUGUAAGUUUUCAAAAUAAAUCUCUAGAACUUAGUGUAGUAGGAACAAGAUAAACAGCAGCUCAACUUUAUAUCAUGCCUUUCUCUUACCUAGACUUUAGUGUUAUGCUUCCCAAAGAUAGUAAGUUUCAGUUUUAGUAAUUCCUGGAAGAACUCUAAUAUAAAAGCUAGGUACUUGUAGGUAAGCAAACAGAGCAACUGUUCAUCAUUUCCAUCAUGCAUCUUUUUGGUCUUUUUUUUAUUUUUCUAGAGAUUAAGACUUAGCAGAUAAAUAAAGCACACUUAUCUACACACUCUUUUUAUUUUGUUUUCAUGUUUAUAAAAUGCAGUAACAUUGAAGCAAGAAAAUGUUUAUUUGGUUUUCUAAGUUUUUCCUUUUAAGAUAAAAUACUAAAAUAGAAAAGAAUAAACAAGAAGUGCAAAUAAAAACUUACUUGAUAAAUUGGGGAGGAACUCCCCCAAGCUGGAUGUUGAUGUCGGUCUUACCCGAUGUUCCAGAACCGCAUCAUGGUUGUGAUGUUGUCGUUCAUUGUUGUUGUAUCUUGUCUCAGCUCUUGCACUGCAGCGGCAUGGUCCUGGUUCCAUUUUUGCUGUUCUUCGAGGAGUCUUCCAUGUUCUGCUUGCGUGUUCUGGAUGUCUAGGAGGGUGUUGUCGGUACGAGUGAAGAAAGCACCGGCCUCUUGAUAGUAGUCAUUCGUGAAAGCGUAGGAGGCGUCGGAGUAUCGUCCUGCAUCAAAUUGGGGCGGAGGUCUGGAUCCUGAAGCUCCAUAUGGAUCAGUGGAGUACCUGCCCAUAUGAAAAGGCGGGUUUGUCCACUGAUGAUCUUGGCUCUCCGGCCAUGUCUCCUCUGUUGGCUCUUGUGGUUGUGCAUGACGAACCCAUGGGUCUCGAAGGACUCGGGGGUUUUAAUCGCAAUAAUGCAGGUGUGCUGCUUCUUCUGGUCCGGGAUCAGCUCCAUACCAGGUGCGUUCUUGGUGAGUGGUUAUCCUUUCAGAUGCCACUCGCUGUGGAGUUCUCUGGUUCACUGGUGUUGAUGCAAUCUCAAUCAAAAAGUUUUGAACAACAUAGAGGCCAAGGUUCGGGUUAGGUAACCGAAUCUUGUCUUUAUCAUCAUAUAGCAUAUACAUUACAUUCCCCUCUUUCUUUAACAUCCGAGCUUGUCUAAAUGUGUCAUAGCCAUGAUAAAUUCUUAAUUCUUCUAUGAAGUCCAACGAUGAAUUUUCUAGUAAGUGAAGAUUAGAGGCUAGACGAGUGAUAAGUGAAGUACAUCCUACUGGUCCCUGAAAGCCAAUGUGAAACUAAUAGUGUAACAGGCGAAGUGGGUACUUUACUAAUAGCAGCAUAUAAAAGUUGUAAAUCUCCUACUCUUACUUUCCUAAUAUCGUCGCGAUAGAAAAGAUUGUACCCAAGCCAUUUGUGGAACAUCCUAAGAGUGGGGUGUUCCAUAUCACUGGUUCGGGCUUGACUAUAAAAGUUAUCUCUAGAUAUUUCUCUCGAAAACUGGUGUCUCUCAAAGUUGGGUAAAUCGGAGUCAAUGUCCAGGAUGCAUCUUGAAGGGAAACCAAGAUGGUCGAUUAGCUCUCUCCAAGACAACAUAAUUUCCUGUUUGAACAUCCGAAAAACAAUUCCCCCCUCAUAGUAUUGUAAGGUGCAAAGAAAUUCGAGGGUGAGAAGACGAGAACCCAGCUCAGUUAUAUUCCAAAAAUUUGUCCAACCCAUCAUCUGAAAAAUUAAGUCGAAUUCAGUGUCCAUACCUGUUUCUUGUAGUAGGAUUGGAUCGAGAGUAGGGGUAUGAAUGAAAUCUUUAUUCUUCAGUUGCUGAUAGACUUCCUUCUCUCUUCGGGUCUUCAGUCCUAGGUCUCCUAUCUUGAGAAGAACCUUAACUUGCUGACCUGAUGAAGAUGAUGGAGCUUGUGUGGGUGUCGGGUCGACGCUCAUCUCUGAUGGCUGUGAGGAGUGUCGGGAUGAACUCCUUGUACCAAUGUUCUUGAGAGCCUUCCACUGCAUUCUUCACCUUCUUAAACAUCCUGCAAACAAAAGUUGGCAAAAACACAACUAGUGGAAAAUGUGAGAGAAAAUGUUAGUGGUCAGCUGUCCGGAAUAUCAGUAGUCCAGGGGUUAAUCGUUCAAAUUUAUAUUUUGGUAGAGCCUCUCCCUAAACAACUUUUACUUCCGCUUGGACAGCGGGAUCACUACUUGCUAGGUGACAAACACUCUCUCAAAAGAUCUCCAACCUUCCCUUCCACUCUCCUCUUUCUCUCUACUUUCUUCUCUUCACUACAAGAGCUCCUUCUCGGGAAACUGAAACUUGUGUGGUUUUGUGGAGUGUUUGUGUGAAGAGAAGGGGAGCUGGAGGUGGCCUUUUAUAGGAGGAAGAGGGACAGGGCGGGCACCCUUGGUAGGUAGGCAGGCGCCCACUUGUGAUGCCCAUCCUGGGUGUGUCUCCUCCACUUGCUUUCUUGCUUUAAUCUCACGCAGAAUAAUAUUGUGUUGGUGGUGGUUGGACGGUGAAAAGAUGUUGUUAGUGGAGAUAUGUUGGUGGAUGAAAUUAUGUGAUGGGAUGUAUGUGAGGUGAAGUGUAUGACAUGUGGGACCCAAGAAGUGUGGGUCAUGCUUCUAGAAGGUUACUAUAAUUAAAUAUAAUGCAGGAAAAUCUAUGAGAAUUGAAACUUAAUUAAAAUGAUUAUGGCAAAUAUUUUUAUGCCUCCACAAUAAUUAAUAAAUAUGGGUUGUCACACACCACGAAUAUUAUUUAUAUGGGGCUUUUGAUUAUUAUAAUAAUGCUAUGAAUAAAUGUGACUAAUGCAAGAUUUAAUUAUGCAAGAAUUAAAUAUGAGAAAAAUAAUAAUGCGGAUAAAUACCGAUUUACCUCCCGGUGAGGGUUUGGGAUUUUUAGGUCCCCCAAGCUGGACCUCCAAAUCUUUUAAUCUUCUGAGUUAUCUUCCUCCGGAGAUGGUGUCUCCAGUGGUUCUUCAUGAACUUCCUUCACUGUAGAGUCUCUCUCUGGUCUGGGUUUGAAUGUGAAGUGUUCUUCUUGACCGUUUAUGUUGAACUUGAUUUCUCCAUUUCCGACAUCAAUGUGGGCAUUGGCAGUGCUCAGAAAUGGCCUUCCAAGGAUGAUGGAUACUUUUGAGUCAGGGCUCAUGUCCAGUACUACGAAGUCUACUGGCACCAGGAAAUCUCUGAUCUUGACUGGAAUGUUCUCGGCGAUGCCCAACGGGUGUCGAACCGAUUGAUCCGCUAGUUGUAGGCACAUUGAUGUUGGUUCUAAGGUUGCAUGCUUAAGCUUUUUGUAGACUGAUGCUGGCAUCACACUGACACUUGCUCCGAGAUCACAAAGUGCAUUGUUGAAGUGUUGGUUUCCGAUCGAGCAGUCAAUAGUGGGGCAUCCUGGAUCUUCCUUCUUCUUUGGUGGUUUAUUGAGGAUGGCCGCACUACAUUCUUCUGUCAGCUUGAUAACCUCAGUGGUGGGCAGUGGUCUCUUCUUGUUAAGAAUAUCUCUGAUGUACUUUGCAUAAAUAGGUACCUGUAGGGCAUCGAGCAGAGGUAUGUUGACAUAUAAUUUCUGAAUGACCUCUACAAACUUACCAAACUGCUCAUCCGACUGCAGUCCUCUGUUUCUUCUCGGAAAUGGCAAAUAGUUGGUGUCAUAAAAAUCUUUCCUCAUUUCUCCAGUUCUUGGUGGUUGUAGCAGAUCUUCUGCUUCAACAGGGCUUUCUUCUUCUAUCACUGCCGGUUGUACUGGUGCUGAUGUUCUUUGUUUCGCUUUUGGGUAUGGGGGAUCUCUGGUUGCUUUGCCUCCUCUAGUAGUUAUAUUCUUUACCUGCUCAAGGUUAGUAGCAACAGGCAGUGCAGCAGCUAUCUUUAUUAAUUUAAGCUCUACCCUUUUAUUAAGAGUGUUUUGCUCAUCAAAGGCAGUUAGUAGAAAAUCCAUUUUAUUGUGUAUAUCUUUUAGAGAUGAUUCAUUUGUAUCUAGCCUUUGUUUAACUUCAUCAUUAAUUUUGGUUUGUUGAGCAAUUAUCUCUUUUAAUGAAAGUUGCUUGAAAGUAUUACCUAAAUUCAUAACUUUGAUAUUGGGUUGACUUGAAGUUGGUUGAUAUUUGUAUGCUGUCUCAAUGGCCCUUUGAUCUUCUUUGAACUUGGCCCUCUGGUCAAUCCAAUGGAGCAAAUUUUCCAUCUUAGUUGAUAAUGCAUUUACUUGUUCUGGUAUUUCUUCAGUUUGAUGACAUUGUUGAGCUUUAUCUUGGAACCAGCUUUGGUUUUCUGCUAUCUUGUCCAAAAGUAUCUCUGCUUUUCCAAUUGUAAGCUCCAAAAAUAAUCCUUUAGCAUAUGCAUCUAGGCACUCACGAGCCUUCUGGGUUAAUCCAUGGUAGAAGGUCUGCAUAAGUAACCAUGUGGCCAUUCCAUGGUGAGGACAAUCUGAUAUGUAUCCUUGAAAACGCUCCCAUGCUUCUGAAAUGGCUUCUGUCUUCUGCUGUUGGAAACUGACAAUAUUUCCUCUUAAGGCAGUUGUUUUGCCUAUAGGGAAAAACUUUGAUAGAAAGGCAUCUGACAAGUUUGUCCAGUUGUUGAUGUUAUCUUGAUGAGUGUAGAACCACUUCCUCGCUUUCCCUUCUAGUGAGAAUGGAAAAAGGCGAAGUAGUAUGACGUCUUUGUCAACUCCGUUGAUGUGGAUUGUGCUUCCAAUCUCUAAGAAAUUCUGCAAGUGUGCACUAGCAUCUUCAUGUGCCUUUCCACUGAAUUGUGUAGCUUGCACCAAAUUGAUGAGGCUUGACUUGAGCUCAAACUCAGGUAUUCCUUCUUCUACUGCAAAUCUUGGACCAGUUGGAAUGUUCUCAAGACUUGGAGCAGAGAAUUCUUGCAAGGUCUUUUGUGCCAUAGCUUCAGCAAUUGGUAGCUAGCUUCUUCUUCUCUUGAUUGCUUUGGUUCUGAUGAUGAAGAGUUGAAUGUACCCAAAGUCAAUCCUGAUAUACCCUGUAUAAAAAUAUAAACAUAGAAAAACAACAGGGUGAACCUGCCAAAGCAGAGGUGCCUUGUUAUGAUUUCUCACUUAGUAGCUUUUUUAUGCAAUUAUUUCUCUAUAGUCUAGUCUAAUGUUUUAUGUGAAUAACCUUGAUUGAUUUUCUGGCUUCCCUUACCGUUCCUCUUUAUGACUUAUUCCUGAGACUCGUAUAAUUCCCCGGCAACGGCGCCAGAAAUGCUUGUUGACACUAGCUAACACCACUUAGAUACUAGGUUGUCAUCCCCAGCAUGGUGCCAGAGUGUACAAAGGUAUUUAUAAAUGUAAAGGGCUCUCUAGAAAAUAAUCUAUUCUAUCCGCAAGCGCACAGAUAAAACACCUCAUUGUAGCAUUUCACCAGGAUAAGUAUUCCAGGUAUCGUUAUUUAUAAUUUUGCUCAAGGGAUGAAAUUAAAGUAAAGGGGCAAAAUCUAUCAAGGCGUAGACUAGAGAUAAACUUGCAAGAACAUGAUUACUAAUGAGAAACUCGUCACACAGUCACUUACUUUAGCAGGGGGUAAACCAUAAAGAUAAUGAUAAUAAAGUAUAAGUUCAUGGGUAGAUAACACAGCGAUUAGAAAAUAGACUACUCCUCAUAUAUGUAGGUGAUGUCAGAUUAGCUAGAGAAUGGAUUCUAAGUUAUCUACUAACUACUAAGUCAUAAUCUACUCUAGUUAUCUACAAGAUCAUAUAUAGCAUAAAAGACUCUUCAUUCAUGUAUAAGGAACAUUGAUAAAGUAAAUCAGAGCAUCGCAUGACUUACUCCACAAUACCGGUUCUGCCUGUCCUAUCAACGGAGGGUGGACUAUAUAAGAAUCAACGAAGCUGUCACUAUCGCGAACUACCACACGACCCGGCCAAUAGGAUACAUUUGCAGAUAAAUAACAUCUAAGCACCACGCUCACAUGUGAUCUAUCACCUAACUCCCUCGCGUCAAGAGCUAAGCGCUUUGCAAACUUAUACAUAAACUCAUUAUCAAUUAGAACUAUAUCAAAUAUAGAACUAGAGCAAACUAAGAACAUAAUAAUUAGAGACAUAAUGCAAUUAGAACAAAGAAUUAGAGAAAGAUAUGAAUAAUACCAAUCUUUAUUACCGAAGAUCCGAAUCCAGAGCGUAGUGCUCUAGUUUUCUAAUUGCUAUCUAAUCAAACCUCUAAACUUGAAGGAUUAGGGAGUAACUAAUUCUAAUUCUCUGUGGGAGAGAAGCUCUAAACCCUAACUUUGAUGGCUACCUCUGAAUAAUGAUUUCUUCUCUCCUCCUCCAGGGGCCAGGGGGUCUGGUUUUAUAGUCCCCUCAAGUGAACAUGAGCCAUUGGAUCAAACCGACAUAGAUUGUAUGGUUUAGAUUGAUCCUUUAGGUCGGUGGAGCGUUGUCCCGAGAGAGAGUCCCGAUCCAACUCCUGGCCAGGGCGGGCGCCCAAGGGGGGUGGGCGGGCGCCCUGCCCCCGAGCCCGAUUCCCUUCUUGUUCGUUCCCGUGGCUUCUGGACCCUUCUAGAUUGAGGAAAAUUGCGCGGCACGUACUUAUCUCGUUUUAAACAUGACAUGUGGGCCUUCUCUCCAUAUUCUCUGAUAACCCCCUGUAGAAAUAGAUAAACACCAAAGCUCGUGGAAUUCUGUCAGAUAAAACUCUAAUUCUAGAUGUUUGUUUCAUAUUGAUCCUUUUCUAUGUUUAUUUGAUUAUUAAUUUUAGUACUUAAGGACCGUCAACAGUAGGCAGUACGACGGUCGGGGGCCCCCUAGCUUCAUGGCCCCCUGGCCGUCGCACUGCCAGCCCCCACCUCAGAGCCGGCCAUGCAAAGAGGCAAACAAAUAAUUUAAUAAUUUCAAUGCAGCUCCAAAAAUUAUUGUUUGCUUAUGAUGGUUGGUUCCAAGGAUUGGAGCAAAAGGCAUUUCAAACUUAUUGGUCUGAAAUAUGGUGUCAAAUGACACAGCAUCACUAAAGCAUGCAUAAUCCAAGAUAGAUUGGCCAUCAGCCCAAAAGAAAUUAGCUAUCCGACCAUCUUCCUCAUCUAUUUCCACCGCAUAAACAAAUGUAGGAUCCUCAAUUUGCUUAUUCUUCAAGUAUUCCAACAAUGUUUGUGCAUCAUUAGAUUCUAAGUACUUCUUGCGCUCACGACCAAUUGCAUUAUUGCAGUCCAUCCUUGAUAAUGGCACAUUGUCAGCUUCCCCAUAAAACUCCUUCAUGAACUCAUACACUUGGGAUGGCUUCAUUCCGGCUUCUCUUAUCUGACCAAUUAGCAUCCUAUCUGCUUCUCUAAAACGGCGUUGAGACUUCAGCUUGUGCAACUUAUUUGGACUAGCAAGAUAAUGAUUGUCAUCAAGUAUAACCUUUUGCACUUUCCAAAUUCCUUCUUUGCUGACACUAAACAGAACACGAGCAUGACAACCUGUUCUUGUAAUAUCUUUUUGUGACGACUUGUUUUGUCGAUAUCCUUUGUUACUGCAAACUAUAUAUUUUUGAUAUAUAGUUUUAUCUUCUCGACGAGCUGAAUGGCCCUUUCUAGUACUGAACCCAACCUUACCAGCAUAGGUAUUGUAAAUCUCGUAAGCUUUGUCCUCUGAAUUGAAAACCGUACCAACUUCAGCAGCGAUCAAAUUUCUCCAAUUUUAUCAACCUUCUAUCGUAAAAUAGAAUAACAAUUAAAGUUAUGUAACCAUUAACUAACAAAAUAAUUUUUUACAUGCCUAACAAUGAACUCACAUCACAUACCUGAUCUGAUCGUUGUCACUGGUUCAGGUAACUCAGAAGGUGAUUGUGGGACAACUAACGUUAACACAGGCAUGAUAAUUGCAGGUCUCCUACGUGAGCAAGAUGUCGAUGGCAUGCUUCUUUGGAUGUCUUCAAUUAACUUGUUUUUGUCACCCUACGUGUGAUGACGGUUGCGGCUAAACUUGAGCACGCAGCCCGUGGGCUUUAGGCACGGCCCAAAGCACGGUGUUACGGCCCGGCCCGAGCACGGCACGGCCCGGUUGACAAACGUGCCCGUGCCGGCCCAUGGCACGCAGCAGGCCGUGCUUGGGCCGUUGCCUCGGCCCACCGGGUGGCACGGCCCGGCUCGUAAAUCAACGGGAGGCACGGUGCGGCCCGGUGGCGAGGGGAGGCUGGCCGAUCAGGAGGGGGGCAUAUAAGCCCCCGUCGCAGUGCCCCAGUGCCCUCCCCCCAAACCCUAAUCCCCAUUCGCAUUCGGCUCUCGCGCGGCGCCCCCUAGACUACCACCCCCCCCCCUCGCGCUGCACACCCCAAACCCUAAUCCCCUCCCCGACUUCCUCACUUCACCUUUCACCACAGGCCGGCGGCCGCCACCUGCCUCUGACGUUGUCCUGCACUCCGUCUAGGCCUCCACUGCCGGAUCUCAGAGAUCCUAGUGACCAGGCUCUCUCACCAUCUCCACCGAUAGAUCUUGAGAUCUUAGCCGCCUGCCUCCGUCGUCGUCUACUACCGGAUCUUGGAGAUCCCGGUGUUAGGGCUCUUUGUCCUGGUAUUUGCCAUCGUUUCUUCUCUGUUUCUCUAUUUCUUCUCUGUUUCUCUGUUUCUCAGUUUGGUACUCUAUUGCCAUCGCUCGUUUCUUCUUCUCUUCUCUGGUGCCGGGCUCUGUCUCCGUGCAAGCAAGUUCCCACUUCCCAAACCCUAAGCGGCGACUUGCCACCGCUCGUUUCUUCUCUAAAUCUCUGUUUCCCGCUCGUUUCUUCUCUGUUUCUCCGGUCGUCUCAGUUUGGUUUUGGUGCUAUUGCCACUGCUCAUUUCAUCUCGGAUUCUCCGGCGCCGAGCUCCGUCUCCGUGCAGGCAAGUUCCCUAACCCUAGAUCUACUAGGCCUUGUCAUAAACCUAACCCUAACCCUUGUUCUUUCUGUGUAUGUUUGUAGGUUGCUGGUGUGUAGCUAGUGCCGCAGUUGACGUCGAGGAACGUUGCCGAGAAGAGGUGGGGUGGUCAUGGCCAGCGUUGAUGGUGAUGGUGUCGAUGGGCCAACCAUCAACGACGAGCUCAUGGCAAUGGGCCAAAUCCAUGAUGACCAAGACGACAUGGGGGAUGCAGAUGUUGUUGCCCUCUUGUUUAGGGCAGUGCCUGCUCGUGCUCCAAUUCCUAAUUAGUCAGCGCCUUGUGCUUCCGAUGCUGCUGCGGCCCCUGCCCCUAGCGAUGCAGCUUCUCUAGCAUCGUCCACCACCGGUAGUAAGCGUCGAUCUCCUGUCUGGGAUGACUUUGAUGAAGUCAGGGAGACAGUUGAUGGUGAACUACGUGUUAUUGCUGUUUGCAAGCUCUGUAAGUCUUGUUUAUCUGGUACUUCUGCUCAUGGCACUGGACAUUUACUUAGGCAUCACAAAUCAUGCAAGAAGAAAUGUGAUAAUGCUAAUCUGAUUCUGUGGGGGUAUAAACCCCUAUACCCUCAUGGGCCUAUAUGGGCCGCACCAUCAGAGGUGGCUCGGCCCAUAAGAUGAAGACGUGCGGCGCACGACUGGUCGGCGUGCACCGCAAGGCUACAAGAUUUUGUACCAAAUAGGAUACUUUGCUUGUAACUCUGUCCCUUCAGGAUAUAUAAGGAGGGGCAGGGGUCCCCUAGAGGACAGACUAUACACAUCAUAUUCUCUCAACACAAAUCAAUACAACCAGACGCAGGACGUAGGUAUUACGCCAACUCGGCGGCCGAACCUGGAUAAAAAGCUUGUCCGUGUCUUGCGUCACCAUCGAGUUCGUAGUUUGCGCACCGUCUACCGAUAAACUACUACCGUGGGUAUACCCCAAGGUAGACUGCCGACUAGCUUUCGUCGACAGUGGCGCGCCAGGUAGGGGGUGUGCGUGCAACUUCUCCGACGAACGAGAUGGUCAUCAUCCCCGACUUCGUGGCCAUGGCGGGCGACUUCACGUUCACCGUCAGCUUCAACAGCUUCACCGCCACGACCACGGAGGAGGUGUAGAUCCGAUCUGCGCCAACCACUUCUUCAUCGACGUCGGCGGCGGCUUCAACCACGCUGGCCACGACUCCAACUACUCCAGCAACGUCUCCGACCACGCCGACAACGCGUCACCCGCUUCUCUGCUACAAAGGGAGGCAGAUCGACGACACCGACCUGCUCAGGCUAUCGACCAAGUUGUUUGGCCUACUUGCUCUGACCACGAGUCGCAAUAAUAAUCGCCGCAAAGAACGGCGCUACGACAGCCGCGACCACCAUCACGACAACAAGUCAAGCAACUCUCUCGACCAUACUUUCGUCCAAAGAUAAGUACAAUUCUAAUAUUUUAUUUAUUUUUGGCAUAAUAUUUUUAAUAUUAUUAUUCUUCAAAAUAACUUUUUUAGCCGACUAGUUUUUUCUCCUACACGAGCUUUCCAGAGCCGGUACUGUCUCCGACUCCUCCCUACACGUGCACGAGAUCCGCCCUCUGCGUUCCGGGUGGUCGGCAGUAGCUCUCUGACAUGGCUGACAAUCCUACGCGUGCCUAGGUUCCGCACCUCAUGCUGAUUGUUGGCUAGACCAGAGCUGGUACAAGCUCUAGGACGAAUUAACUACUCGUGCUAAUUUUAUAACAAAAAAUCUAAAACUUAUCUUAGUACUGAUUUUUUAUCUAAAGGUUAUUUAUACAUCAUGUACUACCAAUUCUUUAUAUUUAUUUUUCAGAAGUUUGGCCCAGUCGACAAGCUACGCUUGGAGACUCGUCGACUAUUCUCUACGCUGUGCCCGGGGACUGCUCCGACCACCGAGCACGUUUACGUUCCCAACCACGCUCGGGGACUUGUCGACUACUCUCUAUGCUGUGCUCGAAGACUGUGCCGACCACCGAGCAAGUUUACGUUCCCGACCACGCUCGGGGACUUGUCCACCGGUCCCUACGCCGUGCUCGGGGACUGUACCGACCACCGAGCACUAUACGCUCGGGGACUGGUCGACCAUCCCACCAAUUUGAGAAUUCGGGGACUGUACCGACCACCGAGCGUUAUAUGCUCGGGGACUGGUCGAUUAGUCUGUUCAAUUGCAGACGGACUGGUAAAUUCAAUUUUUUAGACCUUGCUACAAGGCUCAUACUUCGCCUUCCAGCAAGCUCGGGGACUACAUCGUUACGAUGCAUCUGGCGAUGCAUCUCAGUUUCAGAAUUUCUUUGAGGAUUUUUCUUUUGACCCUGCCACCACGUGCCUACGUCACCUACUACCAGGCUCGGGGACUAAGUGGGCACACUUCACCUUGCGGUGAAUAUGCUUGCUUUUUUGAGGUCUAUACUUUUCAGAAAAGUAAAGUGGGCACACUUCACCAGAAAAGAAAUCUUUUUUAAUUUAGAGCACCAUGCAUUCUUCGAACAACCUGCUUCUUCGAUGUCAAUGUUGAUCAACUGUCUUUUGAGUUGGUCAAAAUACCGUUGCAACUGUUUGGGCGACUUUCCUGCUUAUUGAAGACGUCAAGCCACACUGAUCGAAGAAGCUCAAGACGGCGUGUUACAUCAUAAUACAUGGUGCUCGGGGACUAGCUGUGGGGGUAUAAACCCCUAUACCCUCAUGGGCCUAUAUGGGCCGCACCAUCAGAGGUGGCUCGGCCCACAAGAUGAAGACGUGCGGCGCACGACUGGUCGGCGUGCACCGCAAGGCUACAAGAUUUUGUACCAAAUAGGAUACUUUGCUUGUAACUCUGUCCCUUCAGGAUAUAUAAGGAGGGGCAGGGGUCCCCUAGAGGACAGACUAUACACAUCAUAUUCUCUCAACACAAAUCAAUACAACCAGACGCAGGACGUAGGUAUUACGCCAACUCGGCGGCCGAACCUGGAUAAAAAGCUUGUCCGUGUCUUGCGUCACCAUCGAGUUCGUAGUUUGCGCACCGUCUACCGAUAAACUACUACCGUGGGUAUACCCCAAGGUAGACUGCCGACUAGCUUUCGUCGACAGAUUCAAAGUAGACUUGCUUUAAACCCUGAUGGACCAUAUAGAAACUGGGAAUAUAAACCAGAAGUUGCUAGGGAGGAGCUUUGUCGUUUGAUUGCUAGAUUAGAUCUGCCUUUAUCAAUUGCUGAUUGUGAUGCUUGGGAUGAGUACAUUCAGCGUGGUCACAAUCCUAGAUAUAAGAGAGUCUCUAGAUUUACCACCUCUAGAGAUCUGGCUAAGCUUUACAAUGAAAAACUGCAUCACCUUAAAAAUGAGAUUUUUCCUGGUGUGUCUUCUAUUUGUUUGACAUCUGAUAUAUGGUCUGGUAAUGCUAAGGAAGAUUAUAUAACUGUUGUUGCUCAUUAUAUUACUGCUGCUUGGGAACUUAAAAAAUCUGCCAUCGGUUUUAAACUGAUUGAAGUGAGUCAUAAUGGGUACUAACAUUGCUGAACGUAUCUCUAGUGUGCUUAGAGAUUGGGGCUUGCUUGACAAAGUUUUUGCUGUUAGCCUUGAUAAUGCUUCUACUAAUACAACUGCUAUGCUUGCUUUGAAACCUAUGCUUGGUGGUUACUUAGGCCAUGAUGUUGAUCCCUUAGAUUAUACUAAGAAGAUAUAUCAUGUUGUGCAUCAGCGUUGUGCUUGUCAUAUAAUUAAUUUGAUUGUUAAAUCUGGUUUGAAAAGGCUUAAACCGUACAUAGAAGUUUUUAGAACUGCUAUUAACUGUCUAAGUUCAUCUAAUCAUCGCAUUGCUCUCUUCAAGAACUACUGCCUUGCUAAGGAUAUGCGGCCUCGUAAAUUUUGUUUGGAUAUGGAUGUUAGAUGGAACUCUACCUAUCUUAUGCUUAAACAUCUGUUGCCAUAUAGAUCUGCCUUUACUGUGUUCAUCAAUACUCAAUGUGGCUAUCAAUUGUUGAAUGAUCAACACUGGUACAUUGCUGAAAAGGUGUUGGAGUUUCUUGAAUUGUUCUAUGAUUCAACUGUUAUACUUUCUGGUGUUUAUUACCCCACUAGUCAUUUGAUACUGCAUCAGAUACUUGAGAUUGCUGGUCAUCUGCAUGACUAUGAACAUGAUAACAAUCUUGCUGCUGUUGUUGUGCCAAUGAAGGCUAAAUUUCUUAAGUAUUGGAAGACUAUACCACUGUUAUAUUCUUUUGCAUUUGUUCUGGACCCUAGGGCUAAGAUAAGAGGUUUGCAAAAUGUGCUUGAGUUGCUUGGUCAGUGUAACAAUAUUAGUUACAUUGACUAUCUUGCUGAGGUUAAAUUUGAGUUGCAUAAACUUUUUGACAAAUAUGAAUCUAAGUUUGGUUCAACUUGGCCAGCUAGGACCACCCAUCCAUCUGGCCUGACAAGUAAGAGGAAGCAGGCAUGGGGUAAAAUAUUUGGAGGAUCAGUUUCUUCUGGUCCUUCAAGUGUUGGAUCAUCUGCUGUGGCUCCUGGUCUCUUUGAGCUCACUGUUUACCUAGACAGUGACAAUGUUGUGGCCUAUGAUGAUGAAUUUGAUGUCCUCAAUUGGUGGCAUGAGCAUAAACUAACCUUUCCCGUUCUCUCUACCUUGGUUAAAGAUAUUUUGACUGUGCCUGUCUCAACUACUUCUUGGGAGUCUACUUUUAGUCUUACUGGCAGGAUCAUUGAGGAGCGUCGAAGGCGAUUGGGCGCCGACACUGUGGAGAUGCUAAUAUGCUGCAAAGACUAGGAGCUUGGCCAAGAGAAGGGACAACACACUGUGGAGGACAAAGAGUUGGAAGACUACUUCAAGAACCAGUUUCUUGAUGAUGAAGCUGGUGGUUCUGCUGCUUGAGAAUUAUUCUUACAGAAUCUAGAGUUAGAGUGUGAGUGUGACUUGUGAGGCAGUGAGAGUGAGUCUGAGACAUUUGAUACUUGGUUUGUAAUAACUUUGAACAAUUGAACCUUUUAAUUCAAUGAGCUGGCCGUACUCUUUUCCUUUCUAGGGUUUUAUCUCACAAGGUGUGAGUUUUACCUAGAAAGGUUUUUAAUGAGGCGGCAUUGCACGAACAGCUCAAAUAUUUAAUCAUCUUGAAAUUUAAUUUUUUUGCUUUCAAAUUUAUAUUCUAUCUUCAUUGGGAUUUUUAUUUAUUGUGGGCCACGGGCUGGCCCGAUACAUAUUUGAGCCACGUGCUCUUCGGGCUGGCAUGGCCCGUAAAUCGGCCCACCUACCGUGCUUGUGCCGACCAUUGAGCACGAAGUACUGCAUGGCACGCCAUGCCACUCGGGCCCGUGCCCUAUCGGGUCGUGCCUUGCACGGGCCCGUGCCAGCCCGUUGCUCAUCUUUAGCUGCGGCCGUAUCUGUUGUGCCGCUAUGACUGCGGCCUUUUUUUUCCAUCUAAUCUAUUAUUACGAUGAAAGCUGCCGAGCUGCUGCGACGAGCCGUAUCGUGAGCCAAGGCCUAUGUUGGCUCGUACGUAAUAUGGCUGUAGGAACCCAGCCAGCCGAUUAAGAAGUCUGACGCGUGACAGUAAUUUAUCCCUACCCAUUUUUUUUCCCGGUCCAACAGUCAUGAUGCCAAAAGAAGUCACAUUUAAAUUAAAUCUACGCGCUUAAUAUAAUGAGGCGGCAUAACUUAGUCAGACGCUUCGCUGUCAUGACAGGUGUGCCAUACGAACCAAGUCAGCGCCCUAAAUUGAAGCGUUCUUGCAGGCAGGAAUGUUUCGUGUCAACUCUGAAUCCAGCAAACAUGCUCUCUGUUUCUUACGUUGUACGGAGUACUUGCUACUACUAGUACUAAUCAUUCAGCAGCACAGCAUUGACCGGCAGCACCCAAGUCCUUACCACCACAGCGAAGCGAUAAAACCACGCAGAGUGUCCAUGUGCAGUGCGCCUGUACGUACGUACGUGCAGCUGAGCCGUGACGAGCGAGCAUGGCCGCGCCGCAUCUGCAUCUGCUGCUGCUGAUCAUGUUCCGGUCAGCGGCAGGUGCGCAGGGAUCCGAGUCCGACACGGACCGGGACGCGCUGCUUGCGUUCAGGGCCGGCGUGUCGGACGGCGGCGGCGCGCUCCGGUCCUGGAGCAGCACAACGCCUAUCUGUCGGUGGCGCGGCGUGACCUGCGGCACGGGCGACGACGACGGGCGCGUCACGUCGCUGAACGUCACGGGCCUCGGGCUCACCGGCACGAUCUCCCCGGCCGUCGGCAACCUCACGCACCUCGAGCGCCUGGUCCUCGACAAGAACGCGCUCUCCGGUGCCAUCCCAGCGACCAUCGGCGGGCUGCGGCGCCUGCGGCACCUGGGCCUGUGCGACAACGGCGGCAUCAGCGGGGAGAUCCCGGGCAGCCUCCGCAACUGCACCAGCCUCAGGGUGGCCUACCUCAACGACAACAGCCUCACCGGCGGCAUCCCGGCCUGGCUCGGGGCGACGUCGUUCCCCAACCUCACGUACCUGUACCUGCACCGGAACUCGCUGUCCGGCGACAUCCCGCCGUCGCUCGGCAGCCUGACAAAGCUCCGGCGCCUCAGGCUAGACGAGAACCGCCUGCGGGGCAGCCUGCCCCCCGGCCUCGCCGACCUCCCGUCGCUGGAGGAGUUCACCGCGUACGGCAACCUCCUGCACGGAGAGAUCCCGCCCGGCUUCUUCAGCAUGUCCUCGCUCCAGGUUCUUGCCCUCACCAACAACGCGUUCCAUGGCCGCCUCCCGCCCGACGCCGGCGAGCGCAUGCCCAGCCUUAUGUAUCUGUACCUCGGCGGCAACAAUCUGACCGGUCCCAUCCCGGCGACGCUUGCCAAGGCCUCCAAUCUGACGAUGCUCAGCCUAGCCAACAACAGCUUCACCGGGCAGGUGCCCUCCGAGAUCGGCACGCUCUGCCCACAGUGGCUGUACUUGUCCGGCAACGAGCUGACUGCCGGCGACGGCGACGGCGACGAGAAAGGCGGCUGGGAGUUCCUGGACCACCUUGCCAACUGCACCAGUCUGCAGGUCCUGGGCCUUGACAACAACAACCUCAGCGGCACGUUCCCAAGCUCCAUUGGCGACCUCCCGAGGGAGAUCCAGGAACUCUACCUCGGGCACAACCGCAUCUCUGGGUCCAUCCCACCGGGCAUCGGCAACCUCGUCGGGCUCCAAUCGCUGGGGCUCGAAGCCAACCUCAUCGACGGCACCAUCCCGGAAGGGAUUGGGAAUAUCAAGAACCUGACAGAGCUGCGGUUGCAGGGGAACAGGUUGACGGGGCCAAUCCCAGACUCCAUUGGCGACCUCACUCAUCUGCUCAAGCUUGAUCUGAGCGGCAACACGUUGAGUGGAUCCAUUCCUCGCACUCUAGGCAACCUGACGCACCUGACCUGGCUCAACCUCUCCGGCAACGCCCUCACCGGCCACGUCCCAAGGGAAAUCUUCAGGCUGCCGUCCUUGUCGUCGGCGAUGGACCUGUCGCGCAACCAGCUGGACGGUCCACUACCCUCUGACGUCUCCGGCCUCGUCAACCUUGCGCAGCUAGUACUGUCCGUGAACCAAUUUUCUGGUGAGUUGCCGGGAGAGCUGGCAAGCUGCCAGAGCCUAGAGUUUCUUGACCUGGAUGGCAACUUGUUCGACGGAACCAUCCCGCCGUCGCUGAGCAGGCUCAAAGGUCUCAGGAGGCUCAACCUGACGAGCAACAGGUUGUCCGGGAGCAUCCCACCGGAGCUCGGCGACAUGUCCGGCCUGCAAGAGCUCUACCUCUCCAGAAACGACCUGACAGGAACGAUUCCAGAGGAGCUGGAGAAGCUCAGCUCCGUGAUCGAGCUAGACUUGUCAUACAACCACCUCGACGGCGGCGUGCCGCUGCGCGGCGUGUUCGCCAACGCUACCGGGUUCAAGAUCGCAGGGAACACCGCCGGCCUCUGCGGUGGCGUCCCGGAGCUGGACUUGCCCCGGUGUCCGACAGCCAGGCGGGACACGCGCCGCCGUACCACCAGUGGCCUGCUUCUUGUCCAGGUAGUGGUGGUGCCUGUCCUAAGCGUAGCUCUUCUUUCCAUGGCCACACUGCUCGGCGUGUUCUGGUACAAGAAAACCAGGCCAGUGCAAGCAAAAAUCACCGACGAUGCGACGGCGGAUGACGAUGUGCUCGACGGCAUGAGCUACCAGAGGAUAUCCUACGCUGAAUUGGCCAAAGCUACCAACGGCUUCGCGGACACGAACCUGAUCGGUGCAGGGAAGUUUGGGUCCGUGUACCUGGGCACCCUGCCCCUGGUACUACCCAAGCAGGGUGCUCUGGCGGCGGCGGCCGAGAACGUCGCCGUGGCGGUGAAGGUGUUCGACCUCCGUCAGGUGGGCGCGUCCAGGACAUUCCUGUCGGAAUGCGAGGCGCUGCGGAACGUCCGGCACCGGAACCUCGUCAGGAUAAUCACCUGUUGCGCGGGCGUGGACGCGCGCGGCAACGACUUCAGAGCUCUGGUGUUCGAGUUCAUGGCGAACUACAGCCUAGACAGGUGGGUGAAGAUGAGGAGCCUGAGUGUGAUCCAGAGGCUCAACAUCGCCGUGGACAUCGCCGACGCGCUCUGCUACCUCCACAACAGCUCGGUACCACCGAUCAUCCACUGUGAUGUCAAGCCCAGCAACGUGCUCGUCGGCGACGACAUGAGGGCGGUGGUGGCUGACUUUGGCCUCGCGAAGCUGCUCCAUGAGCCCGGGUCCGGCGGCAGCCACGGUGACCACACUUCUUCCAGCGGCACAAGCACAAUUGGCGGCUUGAGAGGCACGAUUGGAUACGUCCCUCCAGGUACACUCUAACAUCUAGUGUGCCAGCCAGACCAGACAUAGCAAUGUCACAAGUCACAUGUCUGAACCCUGCUUUGAUUUGUGUGCUGUGCAGAGUACGGCACGACGGCGACGGUGUCGACGCACGGCGACGUCUACAGCUUUGGGAUCACACUGCUGGAGAUCUUCACGGGGAGGUCACCGACGGACGACGCGUUCAAGGACGACGGGCUGACGCUGCUGGAGUUCGUGGCCGCGUCGUUCCCAGACAAGAUCGAGCAGGUCCUCGACCCGGCCCUGCUGCCGGUCGAAGGGUUUGAUGAUGAUGGUGAUGAUGGCCAGGUGUCCUGCAGCUCCGACGACGGCGGUGCGCAUAUCUCGGAGCACGAGUGCCUGGUCUCGGCCGUGAGGGUGGGGCUCAGCUGCACGCGGGGAGUGCCGUUCCAGAGGCUCAGCAUGACGGAUGCGGCCACCGAGUUGCGCUCCAUCAGGGACGCUUGUGCCCGUUCAGCUGCUGCUGAUGAGCAUCCUGUUGGAACCGAAUAGCGUUCCAGUGCGCGAACCCCGCGACGCUCGACGACGGUGACCACGGCGAGAGCUAGAAGAUGAACUCAAGAUAUAAUUAAUUAGGCGCUGCCCAACAUUGCAGCCUUUCGGUCUAUUAUUCAUGCUCUUAUAUACACAUGAUGCAGAUACAAUUUUAGCGUUCGUGCCAAGGACUCUCCGCGCCAGAUCAUGGCCGUGCGCGACUCCGUUUCACUGCGGAGCACGCCGUGUGUGGAGCACGCCGUGUGCGCAGCACGCGUUCUGACGCUGGAUACAAGACCGACUCGGCUUAGAUCACGAUCCAGCACGCCACCGAUCGUGUCCUAGCCCACUACGACUAGUGCAUGAUCUAAACAAUACUUGAAACAAAGAUUACAUCGGUUUGCUGUCUAGUUUAGCUAACAAACUCCCCCUAAACUUGAUGCACCUUCACUACUCCCAGAGGUUGCCUCAUCUCCAGAAACCUCACUCUUCCCAAAGCUUUUGUGAAGAUAUCUGCGAGCUGUUCCUCAGUUCUAACAUGCUCUAUCUCCACCUUGCCUUGCUCAAUGCACUCACGAAUGUAAUGAAACUUUGUAUCAAUGUGUUUACUUCUAUCAUGUUGCACUGGAUUCUUACUUAGAGCGAUGGCCGACAUAUUGUCCAUGAGCAGCUUGACUGGAGUCUCCUUUGUUCCCAAUAGAUCACCAAUUAGUCGACUUAACCAUACACCCUGACAGGCUGCGGCUGCUGCUGCCACAUAUUCUGCUUCACAAGAUGACAAUGUCACAAUUUUCUGUUUUUGUGAAGCCCAUGUGACUAAACUAUUCCCGAGAAAGAACACCACUCCUGUAGUACUCUUCCUGUCCUGAAUGUCUCCAGCAAAAUCACAGUCACUGUAGCCCAACAAGAAGGGUUUUAGUGCAGCUGUUCUCUCAAACUUGCAGCCAUACUCCACUGUACCUUUCAGAUAUCUCAGGAUGUGUUUUACUGCAGCCCAAUGCUGCUUGCUUGGAGCUUCCAUGUAUCUACUUACCACACCCACAGAAAAUGCAAGAUCUGGCCUGGUGUUUACUAGAUACCUCAAGCUACCAAUUAUACUUCUAUAUGUAGUAGGAUUAACAACUUCAUCUUCCAGACUUUUGUGAGUUUCAGUCUUGCUUCCAUUGGAGUUGCACUAGGGUUGCAGUUCAUCAUCCCUGCAUUUUCAAGAAUCUUCAGUGCAUAGGAGCUCUGACUCAAUGUGAUUCCUUCUUCUGUUUGCUUUACUUCAAUCCCUAAGUAAUAGCUCAGAAGGCCUAAAUCACUCAUGUUGAAUUUCUUCUUCAUCUCUUCUUUGAACUGAAAGAUAUGAGACACAUGUGGUCCUGAGAUGAUUAGAUCAUCAACAUAAACGCCCACAAUCAGGAAGGAUUUCUUGUUAUUCCUUCUGUAUACUGCAUGUUCAUACUUGCUUCUCACAAAGCCAAGGUUGAUCAACUCCUUAUCUAGCUUAGAGUUCCAGGCCCUCGGUGCCUGCUUCAACCCAUACAGAGCCUUUUUCAGCCUUAAUACUUUGUCACCUUUGCCAAUCACAAAACUAGGUGGUUGCUGCACAAACACUGUCUCUGACAGAUCUCCAUUGAGGAAUGCAGAUUUUACAUCCAUGUGAUGUAUUUGCCAACCUCCCUGAGCUGCUAGUGCCAUCAUCACCCUUACUGUUUCAAUUCUGGCAACGGGUGCAAAGACUUCCUCAUAAUCAACACCCUGCUGUUGAGCAUACCCCUUAGCCACUAACCUUGCUUUGUAUUUCACUAUCUUUCCUUCAGGAUUUUUCUUAACUUUAAAAACCCACUUGAGCCCUAUAGCUCUUUUCUUUGCUGGUAAUUCUGCAAUUUCCCAAGUUCUGCUUUCUUCAAUCGACUGCAUCUCAGUCUGCAUUGCCUCCCUCCAGCAUGCCUCUUUCAUGGCCUCCUCCACUGACCCAGGCUCAUCUGCAGUCAUCCAACAUAAGCCACUGUACUGCAUAUCAACCACAUCUAUUGACUCAAGUAGAUCAGAUAGAGUCCUGUAGCGAAGCUGUCUCCCUUCUGAAUCCACCGAACCAUCUGAUGGUGGGGUAGCCCACUGAAUCUGAGUUGCUGGCGGUGAUGAUCCUGUAUUUCCAGAGAUCGGGGUGUGAGGUGGUGGCCUAAGCUUCCCUCACUCACUGCUUGUGGAAUUGAACCAGCAGGAGAAACCGGAGCACCUUCAGAGAAAGGAUCGAACCCACUGUCACAAUCUGAAACUGAACCCGUUGCCGAGUCCGUUACCUGAUCAGGAACAGUAUCGGGUACUGAACAUCAAAGACCUGAGGUACUUCUAUUGCUUCGGUGUUGCUGCUGGAAUUCUCCCCCCAAUUCCAGGGCCGCUUCUCAUCGAAGAUCACAUCUCUGGAGAUCAUCAACUUAUCUCGAACUAGAUCAUAAAUCCUGUACCCCUUCGUUCCUGGUUCGUAACCAAAGAAUACACCAGGAAUUGAUCUAUCAGAAAGCUUGGUAAUUGCUGGACCAACCUUCUUGGCAUAAGCCAUACACCCGAAAGUGCGCAUGUGACGUACUGCUGGCUUCUUCUUAUGCCAUGCUUCAAACGGAGUCUGGUUAUUCAGGCUUUUCGUCGAUGACCGGUUUAGAAUAUACACUGCAGUCUUGACUGCUUCUCCCCAGAAUUUUGCCGGUACCUUCAUCGACUUCAUUAAACACCGAGCCAUCUCGACGACAGUCUGAUUACGACGCUCCACAACGCCAUUCAGUUGAGGAGUGUAGGGUGUGGUUGUGCUAUGUUUGAUCCCACGCUGACUGCAGAACGAGAUCAUCGCACCUGAGUUGAACUCCCCACCUCUGUCUGUUCUGAAACUUUUCAGACAAUAGCCCGACUCCACCUCUGCUGCUUUCAUCAUCUUCUGAAAAAUCUCCAAGGCCUCGUUCUUGUGUGUUAGCAACUCUAACCACAUAUAGCGACUAAAAUCAUCAACAAUGAGUAGGAAAAACUGUUUGCCUGCUGGAGUAGGUGGUGAAAUCUGACCGCACAAGUCCCCAUGCACCAGUCCAAGCCUAUCAGUUGCUCGAUACGUCGAUGCCUGUGGAAACGGUGUACAGUGAUGCUUCCCAAGUGCACAUCCAUCGCAAACCUGCUCUACUCUCUUGAUGAGGGGAAUGCCUUCCACCAUUGCCUUGGCCCCCAAGGUUUGCAGUGCUCGAAAAUUCAGAUGUCCGUACCGGGCAUGCCACAACCAAGCCUCCUCUUCCAUCUUGGACAAUAAGCAGAUCGAUGAACUGAGCUUGAUCUUCAUGACAUAAAGUCGGUUCUUCCUUUCUGCUCGAAUAAGAACUCUUCUCUGCUGAUGCAGGCCUUGAUCACGCUCAAACACCUCCAUGACUCCGUGGUCUAUCUCAACCCGGUGUCCUCCUUCUUCAAGUUGUCCAAGACUAAUUAUAUUACAUUUGAGGGAUGGUAUGUAGUAUACCUCGGUGAGCACUCUGUGCUCGUUGUUCUUCCCAGCGAUGGUGACGGCGCUGAUCCCAUGAAUCUCCACCGUGGAUCCAUCUCCAAAACGUACUGCGCCACGCACCGACUUGUCAAGGCUUGCCAGCGCCUCCCUGCAGCCCGUCAUGUGAUUCGUGGCGCCUGUAUCCAGGAUCCACGCGCCUUCUCGAUACACGCCUAGGAAUACGUGUUCCUAAUUCAGGAACACAGUUGGUGUGUGCUUGAUUGGCGAGCGGUUCACCGUGCACACCUAUGCCACCAUCAGCACCCCAGUUUCAAUAUCGGCCGCGGCAUGGUGAGCACCCUCCUGCCUUUCUUCCUUCUGCUUGGACUUGCACUCUUUUGCAAAGUGCCCGUACUUCUUGCACUUGUUGCAUCUGCCGUUUCUCCUCGGUGUCCCCAUGGACGUGAGUCUUACUCCAGAAUCGCGCGCUUCGCCGCCUCCACGCGUUUCAGUCUUGUCCUUGCGGACGUAACGGCCACCGCUAUUCUUCUGAUUCGAGGAUGAUGAAGACCCAUCCUGGAUCAUACGGCUCUUGUGCUUUGCCAACCAAUCUUCUUCAGAGAGCAGAAGUUUAGGCAUCUUCUCUGUGACUUCCUCCGUCGAGGGCUCAAAACGAUCUUUAGCCGCUCUUAGCCGGCCAACGAGCUCCUCGAGCGUUAGUGUUUUCAUGUCGCAGAACAUCUCGAUAGUGACCGCUACCUGAUUGUAGCGUGCCGGCACCACACGGAGGAAUUUCUUGACGACCCGACUGUCAGCAAUCUUCUCUCCCAAUCCUUCCAGAUCUGUGGCUAACUUCAAGAUUCUGAUUGCGAAUUCAUCAAUUGUCUCUCCUUGCUUGAAAGUGAUCUGUUCAAACUCAGACAAGAGCUUUUGAGCAUUGACUUCCUUAACUCGAUCUGCUCCAAGUCUCAUGGUCUUGAGCACCUCCCAUGCCUCCUUGGCGUUCUUCUUCCUCAGCAACAUGGAAUGCAUCUCGGUUGGCACACCACAGAGCAUAGCUCCCAAAGCUAGUCUGUCCCGGCGUCGCUCAACUUUUGCAUCCUCAAUUGCAUCCCAGAGAAACAUCCCCUCAAGAUUGCAUUGGAUAUGAGACGCCCACUCUUGAUAAUUCGUGCGAGUUAAGGUCAGCCAGAUCAAGUUCCCGGCUGCCUGGUUGAACGCCCGAUCCAUCACGUCCUUGUCUUUCUCCGACGAACUCAUCUCGGCGAUGUUAGGGUUCUCGCCUUCUUCUUCUUCUUGAUGAUGAUCUGAGUCACCCGGCUUCGUCUUCUACUCUCCAACUGCACCGAACACCUCUCCUGUCAAGCCCAAACGGCUCCGAUACCACGUGUUGGAACCGAAUAGCGUUCCAGUGCGUGAACCCGACGACGCUCGACGGCGGUGACCACGACGAGAGCUAGAAGAUGAACUCAAGAUAGAAUUAAUUAGGCGCUGCCCAACAUUGCAGCCUUUCGGUCUAUUAUUCAUGCUCUUAUAUACACAUGAUUUAGAUACAAUCUUGGCGUUCGUGCCAAGGACUCUCCGCGCCAGAUCACGGCCGUGCGCGACUCCGUUUCACUGCGGAGCACGCCGCGUGCGCAGCACGCGUUCUGACGCUGGAUACAAGACCGACUCGGCUUAGAUCACGAUCCAGCACGCCACCGAUCGUGUCCUAGCCCACUACGACUAAUGCAUGAUCUAAACAAUACUUGAAACAAAGAUUACAUCGGUUUGCUAUCUAGUUUAGCUAACACAUCCUCGAUAGAUUAGCCAAAUCAUUUUCUAAAGCUAAAUUUAAUUAUUGUUAAAGGAAAAACGUCUUCAUAAAUGACUCUUCAAAUUUAGUAGCUCUCUAUCCCACCUUAUUUGCUCUGUGCCGAGCAUGCUUCUGCUACUUGUUUCAACUCUACAUGUGGUAUACGACUUGUUUUGGUGAACCAUGAAACAACAUCUAAUGUAAUGAUGAGCUCCUUGAUGUUUAACCUAGGAGACCAAUUCAUCUAAGGACAGAGCUGAGCUACACUACCCCCGCCCGCCGGCUGCCACCCUGGCGCCGCCGUCCACCUCCCCCACCGCUGGUGGUCACUCUGACCCUAUCGUCCACCUCCCCCGCUGCCCUUAGUGCUCCUUCUGGCUCAUCCUCUGUCCUCCUCCUCUUCUCUACCGGUACUCUUUCUCACCCGUCAGAAGUGGUUUUCCUUGAGACUACGGCCAUGGAGGAGGGUUCCUCCUCGCGUCGCUUCUGCUUGUGGGCGGAUGAGGUCGAAGGUGCGCCCGGGGAUGGACUUCUGGAAUGGCCCUCGGAGGAUGUCCUCGGCCGUGGUCCUGAGGGCAGGGUUGCCCUUAGUGACUCGGAGGACUACUCUGACUCCGAGCUGCGGUCACCGCUGCUACCGGAGGAAAAGGGGAAAGCACUAGCACUGGGCUUCAGGCGCCGUCGUGCACGGAGGCACCGCAGAGGGAGGCGUCGGGAUGCUGGAUCUGACUUUGAUGUGGGGCAGCGCCACCCGACCUCCCUAGGGCGGCGCCACCCGGCCUCCCCAGCUGACGUUGUGCCGUGGUGCGUGGACCCACCCCCUUUGACUUUCCCGCUCAGGCGGGCCUCCCCUGUUCUGCACCCCCCGUGUACCCUGGGAGAGCCGGACGGUGAAGGCUUCUUUCAGGUGCAGCAGACGAUGCGAACGUCGAUACUCCCCGCCUAGGCCGGCAAGGCCGAUGCCGCCGGAGCUGGUGGGCUUGUGCUUCAACUCCCUCUGCCCGAGCCAUGUGAAGGCCAGCUAUCGGGCGCCGCCGAGGUGCAACAACUGCUGGCGCGAGGGUCACCACGCCGUAUCUUGCCCCGCCCCGUCGGUGCUGCCUUCGUUGGGGGAAAACGUGCGCGUUCGCCACCCGGGCUAACCGUGGACCACAGGGUUGCUGCUCGGCGUGAGUCCUUGUGAAGACACCGCCACAGCUUGGCUGACACUAUCUCUACUUCCUCUGCCUCAUCGGGACGUUCUACCUCGGUGCUACAUUGUUGUGCACCGCCCAUCCCGCCAGCGGCCCCGGCAACAUCGAGAUCUCCAACGCCACCACCGCCGCCGCCACCUCCACCUCCUGCUGAGAUGCUGUAACCGUCGCUCUCUCCUCCUAGGCCACUGGAGGCAGCUACGCAGCCUGUCAGCAGGGUUCUGGCGGGCGCCGAUGCUGGGGACGAUGAGGCGUCAUCGAGACAGCGACCACCUAUAACCUUGUUGGUCCUCCCUCACUCUGAUGAGAUUCAGGGGGCCGAGGACGCGCUAGAGCUAGCGCUGGUGGCUAUGGUGGGAGGAACCAGGCCACAGGUGUGAACGGCUAUGGUCUACAGUUAUCUCUUCAACCGGUUUGAGAUCACUAGUGAUGUGGUCGACAUUCGCCGCCAUUACCUGAAAGACUUCGUGGUUCGCUUCCAUCACCAUGCGGACCACGACAGGGUGCUCGAAUCCCGGCUAGGUGGGUAUCUCAUUCCACUGAUUUGGAGACCUUAGCGCAGGACAUCGUUGGCGAGCAUGGGGGAGUUCCGGUUUAGGGUGUUUAUGUCUUUGGUGCGCAUCCCUCUCCACGCGCGUAAUGCCGCCACCGCGCAAGCCGUUCUGGGGACUUGCUGCACGGUGGUGGAGCCAACCAGGAUGAUAGACAGACCCGAGGACGAUGAUAGAGAAUACUUUGUUAAGGCCUGGUGCUGGCACCCAAACCUUAUUGAGCAACGGAAGAUGAUCUUCAUCUCGGAGCCGGAGGUUGCAGGGAUACCGGCAGAGGAACGCACUCGGGCACUUGGCCUACGUUACCUUGUUACAGUGCGGCUCAUAGCCUAUUAGGACUAGACAACGCCACCAGGUUCAGGUUCCCCCAGAGUCGACGACAAUGGGGCAAUGGUGGCCGUGAAGGUGACACCUGUCACGAUCCCCAAAACGAUGAUGGACGGGAUGACUACUGGCCGACACCUAGAUAGAACAGUGAUGUUGAUGAAUCUGGGGAUAGCAGCAAUUACAAUUACCACCCUACUGGCUACUACCUGCCCAGCGCUUGCCUCGCGCACGUUCGGGCCUCGACGUCGGUGCGGGUUGGGGCUGUGUCUUGCCCAUUCCAGAAUCUAUCUGGCUCAUCCUCUGGAGGCAUAGGGUUAGACAGGGCAAUGGUGUGUUCCACCCCGGCUACUCUGAACACGCCAGUUGUGUAUUCCAAGGAGCGCUGGCAGCUGCUUUCGGCGCCGCGAACACCGCGGGUGCGUAGCUGCGUCUUUGAUGCGGUGACCAAAGCUGGGGAAACUCAUGUUGAUCAGUGGGUCUCACCGUCACUUUUGGUGUGCGAGAAAGUUGCUGAUGAAUCUGCUAGCCUUGUGGGCCGGUUUCUUGCGGUAUCCCCGCAGCUACUUCAUGGAGGGAAAUGUCGUUAGUCUCCACCGUUGGCGUUGCGCGUGGACUGGUGGAGCGAAUGCACCAAAAGCGAGUUGGUCUUUCAACCCCCUGUGCGGUCCUCCGGUGGAGUGGUGUCGGGUUUCCAUGCAUGACACGGCUCCCCCGCAGGAUGAUAUUUACGCUACACCUCUGGGCACGACUGGUGGACUGAUUUUGUGGGUGCUAAAUUUGUGCAGCGGGCAACUCAGGAUGCUGAUAACGGCGACAUGCCACCACCUGUGCUGUUCGAUGAUGCUGUCGCUUUGGAUGAGGGGACCGUGCUCACCUCCCCUACAUCUGUGCAGGAAGAGUUGGAGGCUGAAGUCUGCCUCCCCUUAGCCACGCCGGUCUUGAGGGGAAGACCUCGCCUACGGAGGUCCAGAACGCCUGUGUCAAUCACGUCUCUGUGGAGAAGUGGCCGUAUUGCUGGAAAGCCAAGGGCUGCAAACGCAACGAGGCAGGCGCAGCUUGUGCUACUGAAGAGGUUGGGGAUCUAGGUGCAAGAAAAUUGUGUCGAUGCUGAAAUAAAGGAGAAAUUCAGAGAGGCUUUCCACGGGGACAUCUCGAGCACAAAGAAGCAAGCUAUGCAAAUCCUUCUCGAUGGCGACAUUGACUUCUCAGCCCUCGAGCUCAACUUGGCUGGGCUAGAGGAGUUGCUCUGACUCCUGCUGUCCAGCGUGUUUUUCUCGUUGCAACAUUUGUUAAUCAUGUCAUCGUCAAUUUCAGUUUUUAAUUGGAAUGUGCGUGGUCUUAAUGACCGGGCGCACCGUAGUGCUGUGCGUGAAUUCCUGCUGCUCGAGAAGCCUACAAUUGUCUGUCUGCAAGGAAAGCAAACUGACUGUCGUCUGUAAUGGCCUUGCUAAUUAAAUCCUAGGAUCUGUGUUUGACUAUGUGUUUCUGCCUUCUGUUGGUGCUUCAGGCGGCAUCCUAUUAGGGUGGCAUCGAGAGCGGCUGUCCUUAACUGAUGUUAACUUGGGACAAUGCAUGCUCUCCACUAAAGUUACCACUGACAGCCAGUUGGACUAUGUUUGGUGGCUGACGAUAGUCUAUGGACCUCCUCAGAUCGAGUCUGAAAAGAUGGCAUUCCUGGCCGAGCUUUUGCAGUUCAGGAGCCUGGCCACAUGUCCCUGGCUAAUCUGUGGGGACUUCAACAUGAUAUACAGAGCACAGGACAAAAAUAAUGACCGCCUCGACAGGACAGUGAUGAGGAGAUUCAGGAACUUCAUUAAUCAAGCGCAGCUUAAAGAGAUAAACAUGGUUGACAGGAGGUUUACUUGGUCCAAGCAGCGUGGGCAACCGACUCUCGAGCUCCUCGACAGGGUCUUCGCCUCUUCAGAAUGGCUCUCGGAGUUCCCCAAUCACGUACUACGGCCUCUUUCGUCCGAUAGCUCGGACCACUGUCCGCUACUGCUACAGCUCAACGCCUUUGGUGAAAGCAAAGGGAGGUUCCGCUUUGAACCCUUCUGGGUGCGGUUGCCAGGUUUCUGUGACAUGGUCGCCAAUGCUUGGGCAUCAUCACCAGCUCAGUCUGACCCUUUCCGCACCAUCGACGCCAAGUUGAGGAACGUGGCCAAGGCACUGAUGAGCUGGAGUGCUUCCAACAUUGGAAGCUUACGGUUACAGCUUACCCUUGCGCCGGAAGCAAUCUUUUGUUUUGACAUAGAGAAAGAAAGGCGGACUCUAGAACCUUGGGAGUUCGAAUUGCGCCGCAAGCUGAAAAUGAAAGUAUUGGGGCUCGCCUCGCUGCCGCGCACCAUUGUGCCAUAGCGCUCCAGGAUCCUGUUCCUGGCUGAAGGAGACACCAACACACGGUUCUACACCUACAGGCGUGUCACCGCAGCCGACAGAACCAAAUCAGGUUGCUGAAUGUGCAGGGGUGUCAGACCGUGCUAUGGCUGAUGCCCUAUAUGACUACUACAACGACAUUCUCGACUCCAACUUCGAGCGCUCCACGAGGCUUAAUCUCGAGGCCAUUGGCCUCCCAACUGCCUUGCUGCAUCACCUAGAGAAUUUGUUCACGGUGGAAGAGGUCUGGAGGAUAGUCAAUGAUUUGCCCAACGACAAGGCACCGGGGCUGGAUGGUUUUACUGGGCUGUUCUAAAGAAAUGCUGGCCAAUAAUCAAGGAUGAUGUGAUGCACGCGUUCUGGGCCCUAGACAGCAGAAGCCUGUAUCACCUCAACGGUGCUUAUAUGGUUUUGCUAAAGAAGGAGAACCCAGAAGAUUUGCGUGACUACAGGCCAAUAAGCUUGAUUCACAGUUUUGGCAAGCUAAUCACAAAAUGCCUCGUGCAGCGGCUAGCCCGGUCUUGGAACUGCUGGUGAAGCGUAAUCAGAGCGUGUUCAUCAGGGGUUGCAGCCUACAUGACAAUGUCCGUGAAGUGCAGCUUGCCUGCAAGGCAAUUCAUGCCUCCAAAACGCCAUGUCUCAUGCUGAAAAUUGAUAUUGCGAAGGCCUUCGACAGUGUUGCCUGGAAUUUCUUGUUCGAGGUGCUGCAACAUAUGGGAUUUGGGAGGCGGUGGACGAACUGGAUUUCCAUGGUGCUGUCCACAUAGAGCACUAGGAUCUUGCUCAAUGGUCAGCCGGGGCACCGAAUUUGCCAUGCUCGUGGGCUUCGACAAGGAGACCCGCUAUCUCUGAUGCUUUUCGUCCUGAUCAUGGAGAGUCUGAAUAACUGCCUAAGCUGGGUGGAGCAGCGGGGGUUUUUAGCGCCUAUCAGUGGCAUUGAUGGAUACCGAGUUAGUCUUUACGCGGAUGACCUAGUGUUAUUCGUCCUUCCACAACAGCGGGACUUGGAGGUGAUCAAAGGGGUGCUCAGUAUUUUUGGACUGGCUUCAGGCCUCUUCUCCAAUCUUGAUAAGAGCGUCGCGACCCUCCUGAACUGUACUCAUACUCAGAUUCAGCUACUGCAUAAUAUACUUCCCUGCCGUGUCGAGGACUUACCUUGUCGCUACUUGGGUGUCCCGCUUUCGGUCAGGAGACUUACGAGGUCACAGGAGCAGCCGAUCAUAGACAAAGUGGCUGCACGCAUACCUGGGUGGAAGGGGCAUAUGCUAAAUGUUGUUGGACGCACAACACUUGUAAAGGCCACGUUAUGGGCGAUCCCAGUCCAUACUUCAAUCGAUAUUUGCCUUUCACCUUGGGCGAUCAACGUCAUCAACAAGCUGCGCCGCGCAUUCAUUUGGGCUGGCACAGAUGUUGUGGCUGGAGGCAAAUGUAAAGUGGCAUGGCCUCUGGUGACCAGGCCGUGCGAUCUUGGCAGACUGGGCAUAUCGAUCUCAGGCGAACUGGGAUUGCACUGCGCGUACGGUGGAUCUCGAAGGACACGCGUCAUGACCGGGCACCGAGGACCUCGGAGCAGGCUCCUCUUGCCCUCUUCCAGGCGGCAACUGUGUUCAACUUGGGCAAUGGGGAGUCUAUUUUCUUCUGGACAAAUAGGUGGCUCCAUGCAUGGUGAAAGUGUGCAGUCCAUCGCCCCCACAUUCUUUGCGGCUGUGCGGCCGCGCAAGAGGAGAGCAACGGUGGCAGAAGCGUUACUAGACCUCGCCUGGGUUAGACACAUCUGUGCUCCUGUAACUAUGCAGUUGGUGGUCGAAAUUAGCAGGCUGUGCGACUUGAGCAUGUUCAGUUGCUGCCGCAACCUGAUACCCUCUCCUGACGGCUGACGGAGGAUCUGAACUACUCUGCAGCGUCCGCCUAUGGUGCCAUGUUCCUUGGUGCAUCGGUACCCCUUGGCGCUAAGGAAAUUUGGAGGACGGCGGUGCCGCCGCGGGUACGCUUCUUUUUCUAGCUGGUUUUGCAUGGGCAAUGUUGGACAGCGGAGAGGAGGCGACGCCAUGGCCUACAGCCCGACGAUACUUGCAUCAUGUGUGACCAAGGGGUUGAGACCAUCAACCACAUUCUGCUGUCCUGCUCUUACAGGGAGGUGUGGCACUGCUGGCUGUCGAGGUUUCGACUCUGUGGUGUUGCCCCUCUCCAAGAUGAUCUUGUCAUUCUCUUGUGGCUGCGCGUGAGGAAGCUCUUGCCAAAGAUGAUCAGGAGGAGCUUUGAUUCGUUCUUCUUGUUGAUGGGUUGGUCUCUCUGAAAGGAACGUAAUGAUCGUACCUUCAGGGGAACCUCGACGCCGGCACCUCAGCGGGCGUUGCUGAUCAAGGAGGAGGUCGACACUUGGUGCUAAAUUCUUCAAAUAGGUGGUCUAAAGUUAACUGUAAACUUUAGCCUAACCCAUAUUGGAGCAUUUGAUCUAAAAACUUAGCUAAAGUGCUUUAAAGUUUUUAUUAAGGCUCUAAAGUUUAGAGGAAGGGUCCAAUGCAAACAUGCCUUAACAUUUUGUUUUCUCUAAUUACGUAUUGUCAAGAGCUAGUGUUGUCCAGGAGGCAAAAAUCUCGCUGAAAGGGAAACAUGCGCUCGUGGUCACGUUUACUAUUUGUAGACUACACUAACUGAUGAUUCCAAGGAGGAAAUUAGAUAACCCUUCGCUUUACCAUAGCUGGACUAUGUGUAGACUACAAACUGAUGAUGACCGUAGCAUAUGUUUUAUGGUCAGCAGUCAGCACACAUGCAUGUGAGCUUGACCAUAGCUUGCUUGUGUGGUUUCGUGUUUUAAUUAGGUACGGAGUAGCACCUCAGUAACGCCAAUAAAUAAGCGUGGUGUUGCCCGCUGGAAGCCUGGAACGACAGUGUGGCAGCAGGACGCAGGACGGCAGGAGCAAGGCCGCCCCCGCCCUCGGCUCACAUCACAUAAUGGCGAUGGCGAGCAGCUGCAGAUCCAGAUCCGGAACCGGAACGGUGGUGCUGUGCUUUCUUGUGGCCUCUCUCGUCCUCGUCCUGGCCUCCUCCUCCGUUGCUUCAGCUGAAGCAGCGGCGGCCUACGGUACGUAGACUUGACGCAGCGUACAAUACAAUCACUUCAGCUUUCAUCCAAACAUAGAUAGCUUCACGGUGCUGCAUAUGUUCUUAUAUAUGAUCUGAAUACAUGCAUGUGUAAGCAUCGUCACAUCGGCUCUGCAGGUGCAGGCAGGAAGAUGAAGCAGAUCACAGCAGCAGGAGCUGUGGCAACGAAGCAGGAUAACUACCCUGCAACUAAUUUACCAGAGAGUUACCCGACGGCGCCUAUACCAAGGGGAUACCCGACGACUCCCCCUGGAAAAUGAAUUAGCUGUUGCCGCGCGGCCGAUCGAGAGAACCCUGCAGGCCGCAGCUAUAUAUAUGUGCAUGACACAUGCCGAUUACCAUUUCUGAAUUACAGAUGCAGAAAUUAGCUUGCGUUUAUACAAACCCAACCUCAUGUCUCGCACUCUCUCUCGCUACAUAAUUAUUAGCACCUAUAUACGCGCGUGCCUGUUACAGUGUACUACUAAGCUAUAUAUUCUGCACCUGUGUGUAUGCCUGUAAUUAAGCUAUAUUAUUGUUUGAAAUAAAAAUAAAGUCAGCUUGGGGCACAAAUAUUUUCAAUCGUCUGGAAUCAUCCUUGUCUUUUUCGUGAAAUCAUCGUGACAGUUUAUUACCACAUCUGAGUGACCGAAAAGUUUAGGAUGCUUUUGUUACUGUGCUUCCCAUCGAGAUCGGGUUAUCUCGGCUGGAUAUAUAGCAUAAAAGAAUCUGCUAAAUAUUAUUCAGUGAACUGAAAGAUCAGCUACUCCCUUCAGGAUUCAUGAUGUGCGCGCCCUGGAACAACUCAGAUUACUCCACGUACCAGCAAAACCAAAACGACACAGGUACAGGGUUUCAUCAUCCAUGGUAUGUAGGCUUGGAUCCCGAGAACCGCCAGCAUGUGAACUGUGGAGGAUAAGGUUGUGUCGCCCUUUCCUCGUUCAACAUGACCUAGGUGAUGUUAAAGAACCGAUCGAUCCAGGGCAGUGUGCAGCUGGUGGCUCGAAGCGUGCACCACUAGAAACAGUAUUUUGCUCACGUUUGAAUUUUUUUUCCCGUAUGUGGUUCAAAAGAGCAGACUUUAGUACAAACAUAUGUGUGGGUCCAUGGCUAUGAACCACCGGUAUAAAUCUAGGAUUUUCAUUGACAAUUCACCUCAGUCAUGUUAAGUUCCCACCCAAAAACUUUUCAUCUCAUCCCAUCGAUGUUUGGACACAUGCAUGGAGUAUUAAAUAUAGAUAAAAAAAUAACUAAUUGCAAAGUUUAUGUGUAUUUUGUGAGACGAAUUUUUUGAGUCUAGUUAUUUCAUGAUUGGACACUAAUUGCUAUACUUACAAAUAUAGGCACCCAGAAACUUUUAUUUUUUCGAACUAAACAAGGCACAGUAAACAAUAAGUGUAAAUUGAUUCUACGCAUAGGCUAUUAUCAUCUUAAGUUACAAUCAAACCAUUUUAUAUGUGUACCGCCUAUGUACAAACAUUCAUAGCUAGUGAUGGUUUUCCUAAUCUGCCACCUGUGUACAAUCAUCUCUGUAAAUACACUUCCUCCUCAGAAUUGUAGACACCUAGCCAUAUUUCAUUGAUGGCAUCCUUGAAGGUCCAAAAAUUGCAAAACACAGGAGUAGGUUUUGAUCUUGAUUUCUUUGAAGGAGGUUGCUCAAGAAUCAAAGAUGAAGCUUCUCUCCAGCCUCUCCGCAUCAAGGAUUCAGAUAGAGUCUUAGUUCGUCUUUGACUCGAUCGAUGCCUUGUAACUUUGGUUCUGCUUCAGAUUUGUACAGUGUCUGUACAGUACGAGUAUGUUUGGUUCGUUUUCUAUACAAGACUGGCUAGCAAAACUAAGUCAGGCUAUAGCAAAACUAAGUCAGGCUAGUCUAAGUCUGCCCCUAGCAAGACAAGACCCGUUUGUUUUGUUGCACGUGCUAAUGAACUUGGCUAGGAUGAGUUCAUGUUGUCUGGCUUAGUUUGCAUAUAGUCAUCUCUUUCACCCCUUUGAGACAUUUUCUCAAACAUGUGGUGGACACCUCGGCUAGUCAUCUUCCACGAGCAGGGGUGAGCAUGGCAAGCACAGCAAAGCCGCGUAGCACACUAGUAUACAGAGGUAGUGGUUCGUAACCCUUUUCUACAGGCGGUUUGGUGAACCGCCUGCCAUGAUGGCAUGUGGAGAAUAAUUUUUCCACAGGCAGGUAAUUGAGAACCGUCUGUAGAAAUUAUAUUUCUACAGGUGAUUCAGUUAUAUCAACCGCCCGUAGAAAUAAAUUUCCACAAAAGAUUCCAUUAGCCAACCGCCAGUGGAAACAUUAUUCUCGAAAAUAUAAAAUCGGCUUUUAAAAAUAGGGAAAAAAAUUAAUCAGCCUAGUCGCAUCGCGCAUCUUUUCAUGUAAAAUCGCACGCUACGCGGCCGACGAGAUUCGAACCCGAGAUCUCUCCCUCGCGUGUAGCAUCCUCUACCACUCUGCUAUGUUUAUAUUAGAGUUUAGUUCCCCACAUAUUAUCCUAAACCAAGCAUAUAUUGAUUAUUUGAGGCCCUAAACGGAUUCAAAUGAAAAAGUUGUCAACUACAAAGUUUCAUAGCUUUUUAAGAUCUGCAACUUUUAUAUUGAUAGUUUUCUCCAUCCGAGGUCAUUUAUAAAAUUUGAAUUUCAAAUUUAAGAAAUUCAAACGUAAUUUUCGACGAGAAGAUGAUUUCAAAUGAAAAAAUUAUCAACUACAAAGUUUCACAACUUUUCGAGAUCCACAACUUUCAUUUUAGCAUUUUUUCAAACGAGGUCAUUUGAAACGCUCAAAAAAUUAAAUUUCAAAUUAUUUCUAUAGGCGGUUUUCUUAAUAAACUGUCUUCGACUGGUUCGGUCUUCAUCAUUGACGUUUGAUGGGCUUGCGUGGAUGCAGCUAGAAGAAGUAGCUAUAGCAGAAUCGGGAGCAUGGAGCCAUAGAGGCAAGAAGAAGGUCUAGAGGUGGCAGAGCAUCCUCCUUCAAAGACGUGGAUCCCCUUCCCCACAACGAAUCUGGCCAUGGAAGCAGGGCAUACUCAACGAAUAUAUGUGCUCAACGAAUCUGCGCUCGAAGUCAUGGAAGUGAGUGAGCUGCCGGCGGUGGUUGAUGGUGGCCCAUUCGGCGAGGCCGGUGACAUGAAGCACGGCGAGGCGGAGGACGACACCAGGGAGGAAGGCGAGCACAACAAGGACCAUGGUGUGCACCAGGCUUCAGCAUCAACAUGCUUAGAGAUGAGAGGCGAGCAGGGCCUUCGUCGAGGCAGCAAGCAUGACGAGCAUUGCGGUGAAUGCUAUGGGGAGGAUUACGGGAAGAGCACUAGCAGGGCGGAGGAGCAUCACUACAGUGACCUAGGGGUGACGAGAAAGGAGGACAUGAUUGGCUCGGGCCUAGCUCCAGGAGAACGGUCAAUUCGACCGUUCGACCCUAGCCAGGCCCCAACAGUAGGGAUGGCUCUACUUGGCUAGACUCCAUGCCCAAUCCAACCAAUCAAAUAGCCAAAAAUUGGCCCCAGAAAGUCUAGUUUGAGCUACUCAACCAAACACACCCUAUAAUCUCUCCCCUCCUCCUCCUCCUCCCUUCUCCCACCUCUGUUGUAAGUAUUCCCUUAGACUUGUUCCGCUCCUUUUUGUUAUAAAAUUUCAGAUCCCCUGUGGGGCCAUGAGUUUUUUGUGUCAAAAAAGGUUGCUCAAGAAUGUUAGUUAAUGCCCAUUCUAAUAUAUCUUUUUGACUAAAUCCUCCAUAAUUUAUGGCAUCAUUAGAUUUAGUUUUCAUUUCAUGGUUCAUAUAUGGAGAGAGAAAUGAUGGUGUUUGGGUGUUCUAACACUAUAAUAAACAAAGUUUCUGUCCUAAAAUUGUUAUAUUUGGUAGCUUCACAUGCAUGUUUCUUCCAUUAUAUGUCUUCAAUUUCAUAGUUUAGCAAAUUUAUUUAUUAAAAUAGAUUAAUUAAUUACCCAUACAUAUAUGCUAAAUUAUGUGUUAUUGAUUUCAGUGUUAAUUCAAAUGAUUACAAUAAGUAAUAAACAUGCAUAUUUCUAAGAAAAAUGGAUUAAAAUAUUCAACUAUAUAUUAAUGUAUUUUUUAUUUGAUUUGAUUAAUCACUAUCAUCUCAUAAAUACACUAGCUCUUCAAAUCAUGAGAAAUGUACAGACCUAGCCAUAUUCCGUUGUUGGCGUCCUUGAAGGUCCGAAAAUUGUAAAAUACAGGGGCAUGUUUUGAUCUUGAUUUCUUUGAACGAGGUUGCUCAAGAAGGUUAGUUAAUGUGCAUCCUAUGUCCUUUUGAAAGAAUGCUCCAUAAAUUGUGACCUAAUUAGAUCAAUUUCCAUGGUUCAUGUACGGAGAGAAAUGAUGGUGUGUUUGGGUAUUCUAACACCAUAAUAAAUAAAGUUUAUGUCCGAAAAUUAUUAUAUUUGGUAGCUUCUCAUGUCUAUUUCAUUAUAUAUCAUCCAUUUCAUAAUUUUUGGAUCAUACAUGCAUAAAUUAUAUGGAUGAAAUCUAUAUUCUAAAACUUAGCACUAUUAGAGAAGUUGGCUUAGAGCUAGUACCUAGCUCUAACCACUGCGGAUGCCCUCAAAGUACUAUAAAAAUAUAAUAUUAUUCUAUGAAAAAAUGCUACCGGCCCCAAGUCAAAAUUCCUUCAGAGUUGACCAGAACCAUCAGAACAAGUGGGCAUCCAGAAUUUGUGUGGGUGUUGCGUCCUAAACUACUAAAAAAUUUCUCUUAGAUGGCAUCACUAUUUAUUGAAUGGAGGCGAGCACUAUUUUUUACUGCCUCUAUUAUCCCCAAGUUCGCCAACACUGAGCGACCGCCUUGGUCAACAGUUAACGGAGGUGGUCGCCUUAAUGUAAGCACCUCAGUUAGUUACUAAUUAACCUAGGCAGUCGAAUUAAUACAAUUGUCUCCAAAAAUGAUGCGGCCGUAUUAAGAAGCUUGCCUUCAUAAAUAAAUUUUCGGAGGUGAACAUACUAUAAGGCCCGCCUCCGAAAAUACUAAGGCCCAAAGGAGCAAUAUAUAUAUAUAUAUAUAUAUAGAGAGAGAGGGGUAUACUAUUAGGAGCUUAGGGCUCCUAAUAGUUAUUAGAAGCCCUAGUCUAAUGUGUGCUUUCUGGUUCCACCAAACCAGGUACAGCCCACUAACCCAUCCAACAGUCCACCAGGUCCAAUAUAUAUACCCCAAACCCUAAUCCCACCCAUCCAGCCACCCUAGCCGCCGCCACCCCCAACCACCCCGUCGCCUCUGCUCUGCUCUCCUCUGAGAUGGCCCUGCAGGUGCAGGCCCAGUCGUCUCUCCUCGGCCGGUUCGCGGCCAUCACGGCCGGGUGCAGCGAGGUGGAGCCGUGGGCGGCCGUCGUCUGCGGGUUCGUGUCCGCGUGGGUGCUCAUCAGCGCCAACGCGCUCGCCGCGCGCCUCAAGUUCGACGACCCGCUGGAGGCGGCGCAGCUGCACGGCGGGUGCGGCGCCUGGGGCGUCCUCUUCACGGGCCUCUUCGCGAGCCAAAAGUACGUGGAGCAGAUCUACGGCUCCGGGAGGCCCUACGGGCUGUUCAUGGGCAGCGGCGGGAAGCUCCUCGCCGCGCAGAUCAUCCAGAUCCUGGUGAUCGCCGGGUGGGUGAGCUGAAGCAUGGGCCCACUCUUCUACGCGCUCAAGAAGCUGGACCUGCUGUGCAUCUCGGCCGACGACGAGAUGUCCGGCAUGGACCUCACCAGGCACGGAGGUUUCGCCUACAUCUACCACGACGAGGACCCAAGCGACAAGGCCGGGGGUUGGUGGGUUCAUGCUCAAGUCCGCGCAGCACCGUGUCGAGCCGCCGGCGGCGACAGCGACCAGCAACCAGGUGUAAAAAUCAGAAGCAAAUUAAAACCUAUCGAGCUGAAGUUACGUGCUUGCCUUUUUCAGUGUGUCAUCGCGUAUUCAUAUUUGAUUUUGAUCUCGAUCAUAUCUGCCGGUACUGUUUGGGCAAUACUUCGCCACUCUUCGGAGUCGCAAGAAUUUGUGUAAAUUAUUAGAAAGCUGUCCACUAGUUGAUAAAUGUGAAGAAUGGUUUACAGAUAUUCUUGAAUAUUAACCCUUUUAUUUUUGUAUAGUUUUUACACUGAUUUACUACUGCAUGUGGUGGAUUAGUUUGGAUCUAAAGUGUUCAGUAGUAAAGAUUACGGACUACUUACUACUACAGUUCUGGUUUGGUGAUUACUACUUUCUCCAGAGAUUAUGGUCGAUUACAAUUGACUUUUAAAAUCGAUUUUUUUUUCUAUGCUUGAUGAGUUAGCUUUUUAUGCGUUCAAUUCAUGUGUGUAAUGUGAUUUUAGCUGGAGUUGCUCUUAGAAAAGUAUCUAGUCGGUUACUUUGCUUGCAUGCAUAGUUUUCUACGCAUGGUGAGACUGUGUUUUCAGGCCUCAUUAAAAACUUAUAUUCAUAUUUCUAUGCACCCACUCGGCCAUUUAGGGGGAGCAUUCUAGUCAUCUAGGCUUGGUCUCGGGCUCGUAUCGGUCUGAUCCACUCUUGACUAUGUGUUCUAUGCUUCACGAGUUAGGUUGUUACACAUUCAAAUUCACUCUUCACGAGUUAGGAUUCUAUGCAAUUCAUUUUCAUGCAAUUUUGAAUUUUGGAUGUAAAUUUCUAAUUACUUACCUCCACUAAGCUUUCUAUGCUUAGAAGUAAUAAUAUGUCGUGGGUAGUGGCUGCUUGCCCCAUGACAUCCGAUAUAUUUGUUGGUCUCCCCAGGCCAUCCAUCUGAGCUAUAGAAUGAACAACAAGGUCAAUUUAAAAUUUAUUUCUCCAUUCAUCUAUAUCGGAUGCUUCUAAAUUUUGACGGAUUAUUCUAUGCACGGUUACAUUUCUAUACGUAUACUCAACUUUCUGUGAUUUUAUCACUAGUGUUUUUAUGCUUCUAGUGGCAAGGUUCUAUGUGUUGUUACAUUUCCAUAUGUAGAAGCAUGCAACUCAGUGCGAUAAUCUAGUGGCAAGGUUUAUGCAGAAUUUUAUAUACAUUAACAGAUCAUAUUUUAUAUAUUGUUGGAACAUAAUUUUAUACAUUAUUCAGGUAUAUUUAUAUAUAAUGUUGGAUCACAUUUUUAUACAUGUUUCUAUAGUUUUUAUGACAUGCAUUCUUUUGGAUGACUUCUAUACAUCACUAGAUGAUACAAAAAUGCAGUCCACAGCCGCGGUGUUAGUAUGAAGCAGCGGUGGCGGUUGGUGGCGUGUAGUUCACGGCGGCGGCGCUAGUGCGACUCAGUGGUGGUGGUCGGUUCGAUGGAAGAUAGCAAAGGAGCAGCACGACGCGACCAGGGAUUUUUGCAAUUUGUUUGUUGAAUUUUAGUGUUCUUAUGCUUGUGUGCAUAAGUUUCGAUACACAUAAUGGAGCACUUCUAUACAUUUUUGUAUUCUUAAUGCUUGUGAGUAUAAGUUUCUAUACAUUGUUGGAGCAGGUCUAUGUUGUUUUUAUGCGAUAAUAAAUUCACUUUUUAUUCAUCAAAUUACUAAAUUCUAUGUAAUGCCGGCACAAAAAAUAUUUAAGUGUAUCUUGAUCACUGAAUUUAUGAAUCCGGUCGUCUAUCACGUGCUAUUUUUUCAAAAUUUUAAAUUUUCGAGAAGACGAGAUCGUCUUUAUGUUUUAUGUGUGCGGUUCUCAUGGUCUAUGUGUUUCUAUACAUUGUUUCCUAUAUUACUUAUGCAUCCUCUCUAGAGAGCAAGGUGUGGUUGGACGCGGUCACGAUUUUUCAAAUCAAUAAUAUGCAGAAGGGAAGGUUUUUACGCGACAAUGAAAUUAUUCUUAUUCACCAAACCACUAAUUUCUAUGCAACGUUGGCGCCAAAAACUUUUCUACGCAUUUUGACUAUUUGAUUCUAUGCAUCUAAUCGUCAUCACGUGCCAUAAUUCAAAUCACGGUUGUGUCGGAUGAAAUGUCCAUCUCGCGGCUUUAGAUGGUAACAAAAUUAAUUUUUAUUCAUUCAACCACUAACUUCUAUGUAACGUCAGCACCAAAAAUUUUCUGUGCAUCUUGGCCAUUGAUUUUAUGCAUCCAAUCGGCCAUCACAUACCAUGAUUCAAAAGUCAAAGUUUAGAGGAAGACGAGAUCAUCUCCAUAUUUGACACGUCCAGUCUCUAUAUUUUAUAAAUUGUUCCUAUGUUAGUUAUACACCCUAUAGUGAGGAGCAUGAUAUUGGUGGAGGCAAUUACAGUUGUUUCGUGAAAUAUCUAUCUCGCAAAGAAGUUUUUAUGCGAUAACAAAAUUAAUUUUUAUUCACCCAACAACUAAUUUCUAUGCAACAUCGACGUAAAAACAUUUUUACGCAUGAUACUUGAUUCUACGCAUCCAAUCGGCCAUCACGUGCUGUGAUUUCAAAUUUAAAAUUUAUGAAUUUUAAAUUUUUUCAAAAAAAUAUUCACAAUGGAUCUUGAAUCAUGCACAAAAAUAUCAGAAGUUUAAUGGUGAAAACCGUUUUUGAAUCGAAAGCUUCAUUGAGGAAUUAUUAAGAAAAAAUGGACGAGAUUAGAAUGGAUGCAUAUAUGACUGCAUGUGUCAGCUUGUGUCAGUACGUGUCAGGUGCAGUUAGGUGGAACGACUAACUCGCAGAAAGGUUUCUAUGCGGUAACGAAUUGAUUUUAAUUCAUGCAACCACUAGAUUUUAUACAUUGUUGGAAUAAAAAACUUUCUGCGCAGUCUGACCUAGGAUUUUAUGCGUUCAAUUGGUUGGGACCCCAAGGGGUCCACCAUCUGCGCGCAUGUCAACUUCGUAGUGGGUUAGGUGGGAUGGCUGGCUGGGGCUUCCAAUAGCUAUUUGUAGCCCUGGGCUCCCAAUAUACCAGCCCUAUAUAUAUAUAUAUAUAUAUAUAACCCUAGUUCACUUUAUUCACCCUCAGAAGCGCCUCAACCCCAUGUGGUGCCCUUAGCUUUGCCCCCUCUCGCGCGACUCUGUCACCCUCUGUGCCCCCUACGUUGCUCGCACCUCCCUCUCCUCUCCUCCCCAUUCAGUGCACGUGCCCCCUCUAAUCUGUGUUGUGUGGCGCUUGUGCCCCCUCUCACUGUCUACCUCUUGCGCAUGGAGCACGGUAGCCGGUGGUAGCCCUCUCUGUCUCUCUAACACGGAGCAUGGUGGCUGGCAGUGGCCCUCUCUGUCUCUCUUGCAUGUGGAAUGGUGGAUCCCAAUGCCCGAAGGACCACAGAGGUGGAUCCCGGUGGCCACCACCAUAUCCAGCGAGGAUGAGCCUGAUCCAGCAGCGACAUAGCUCAAACAGCCAAACCCUAGUGGUCAGAGGAGAACGAAGGUGGAUCCCAAUGGCCACCACCAAAUUUGACGAGGAGGUACUCGGAUCCGGCGAGGAGUAGCCUGAUCUGGCAGCGGCAUAGCUCCAACGGCUGAAUCCCGGCAACUAGAGGAGCACGGAGGUGGAUCCCGACAGUCACCACUAGAUCCGCCGAGGAGGAUCCUGAUCCAACGGUGGGCGGGCAGAUCCGUGCGGUGUGUGCGGUUCUGCGAGGAAGCAAGUGCCAGUGAAUGGUGGCGGUGGUGGGGGCGCAUGGAUGGGCUCACGGGGCCCGUGGAUGGGCUUGGUGGGCUCAGGUUUUUCUUUUUUAUUAUUAUUAUUUUUGGUCGAUUAACCAAGGUGAGAAAGGCAAUUGCCUCCGUUAAGCCUCUAUUAGCCAAGGCCUUUGAUUGGAGGCGGUUGCAAUGCCCAUCUCCAUUAACCCUUUUUGCCCACCUCCAUAGAAUACUACAGUAGUGGGCCAUAGGCCAUAUAAUGUGUUGGAGUUCCUUAGCAGCGUGAAUAGGGUCCUUUAUUGGCCACCCCUUAAACUAUAUAUUUAGUAGCCAAUCCUUAAUUAGGGUUUAUAUUUUGCUUAGACUAAUUCAUGAUCGAACAGUUUCAUUUGCCAUAUAUUGUUUUGUGGAACCCCAACUUCUGAACUUCAUAUAAAUCUGCAAUAUUUUUCCAGUUCACACGCAUGGAUAAGCCUUCUAAGUGGCUUCAAUUGGGAAUUGCAUAGUUGAUAACUAGUGAAGACAUAGUGCUAAAGGUACAGGUCUAGGUUGUUGUGAUGCAAACCCACAGUGUACAGUAGAAACAGUGAGCAUGUAUCUUGUCUGCUCUAGUUGUACCCAACAGUCCUGUAAAAACACUUCAGUUUAGUCCUUGUUUAGUUCUUAAAAAUUUUCAAGUUUUUCUAUCACAUCAAAUAUUUGAACGUAUAUAUGAAGUAUUAAAUAUAGAUUAAAAAAUUACUAAUUGCACAUGUGAUUUGCGAGACGAAUUUUUUUAAGCCUAAAUAGUCCAUGGUUGGAUAAUAAUUACCUAAUACAAACGAAAGUGCUAUAAUAACCAAAUCUAAAAAAAUCAUAAACUAAAUAAGGCUUUAGGCUAAUUCUGUUCGCCUAGCAAUAUUUCUCUCAUAAUAAAUCAACGAUUUCGGAGCUUUUGCGAACAGACCUGUCCUACGCUUGUCUUGACAGCGAUCAUUAUGUGCCUAGACUAGACGCGUGACUUUUGCCAACAUGAGCAGUAGUAGUUGUCUACAGCUAGAUUCUUCCUGUUGCACAUACCAGCCGGUCCAGCCCAUUCAAAGACAGUAUCACACCGACACUGACUGAAACAGAGCUCCUUGUCCUUGGAUGUCACGGGGAAUUCUCGGUUCUGAUGAUAUUGAUUUGUGCUUUAUUUCCACACGUUACUAUGUUUGUAAUGACUUUUUCUCUCGAAGUAUUAUCAAUGUUGCCGAGACAAUUUCACGGGAUACAUCAUUUAAGCGGUCUCAAUGCUAAGUUUCAUCUUUCAGUUUCUAAAAUAUGAAACUUUGAGAUAAAAUUAAUCUAUUUCUCAGUGUAUAGUUUUAUUGCAUAGUUUUAUAGAUUAUUUUUAGUCUGUUGUGGGUUCCAUCGUCACUCUCUUUUCUCUCUUUCCUCACCGACGCCAUGGCCAAACACCGCAAUAUUGUUCCGCUCUGUGGCUACCACGAAGCAACGCACUUCAACCUCCUCAUCUAUGAGCUGAUGCCCAACGCGAGCCUGGACCAGGUGCUGCAUCUACAUGCGAACCACCAGUUCUGCCUCCUCGGUAGGCUUCCUCGCUGUAGAGCCACGCGGAGGGGCUCGGCGGCCGGAGGAGCCCGCGGCUGAGCUCGUGAAGCCCACGGCAGUGGAGCAAGCACCCACGACAGCGGAGCUCGCACGCAUAGAGCAGGCACCCGCGACGCCUCACCCACCUCCGGCGGUUUUCUCACGACGAAGGUGCACGCCUGACAGUCUCGUUUGCAAUAGAGGCGCGCCCCGCAGCUUUGCCCGCGCCCAGCAGGUGUGCUCGUGGCGGAGGUGCCUCACCUAUAUCCGGUGGCCUCACUAGAGGCGGAGAUGCACCCGACGGCCUCGCCCGCUUCUGACGAUGGCAAGCUCGCUGUCCUCGUACACGAAGGAAGAAGAAGCUGCGAUGAAACGAACUGAGGCUCUCAACGCGCAUUUCACACAGUUUCUGAGUCCUUGGAAACGCCGCUGGGUCGUUUCAAUGGGAUGAAACGAUUCCUUCUCUCUUUGCUCUCACUCUGCUCUAGUUUCAUGCAAAAACUCCAAAUUUACUGAUGUGGCAUCCUAUUUAAUAUGCAUGAAAUUCCCUAUGAAAUUCCAUUGAGACUAGCCUUAGGCUCAGUGUAGGUUUUAUAGCUUAGUUUUCAAAACAUCCAUAUUUUAGAAACAGUACAGAAAGUUUUAACUCUUAUCACCUCUCUAUUCAUUAAUACGGUGGUCUAACAUGUUCUUAAUGUAAUCUCUCUCCCCUGCCAUCCUGUAACUUGAAUUCGCUAGGACACUCUCAUACAGACUUAGCAUAAUUUUUAUGGUCAUUUAUUACCUUGCUAUUUAUUAAGUUUUCCUGACGUGGCAUUGUAUUUAUCGAAAAAAGAGAAAAAAGAGCAAGAAACGAAGUCUAAGUUAGACGCGAUGUCUACAAGGUAUCGAGGCAGAAGAAACCACACUCGUUCUCAUUGCGUAAGCAGUGGUGGACCCAGGAUUUGGUUAGGACUAGGACCAAAUUCUAGUAGCGAAAAGCCAAAAACUACACUGUUGUUUAUAUAAUCUAUGUAUAAAACUUGUUAUUACAAAGAAAAUUUUUUAGAUCAGAAAUUCUCCAACUACAUAUUGCCAUACAAUUUAUAAGAAUACAACAUUGAACUACAAAAAUAAAUACUUAGCAAUAACAAGAAUAUAACAUUGAACUACAAAAAUAAAUACCUAGCAAUGAUAUGCUACAUUCGCAUUUUCAUGUCCUUUUCAGUAACGCCUAAAUCUAGACACAAGAUGUGAGAGUUAAUUAAUUAAAAAAGACAAACAAAAAAGUAAGUUUACUGUAGUUAAAGCUAUUGGGCUAAGGCCAUGUUUAGUUGGAGAAAUUUUUUGGCUUUGGCUACUGUAGCACUUCGUUUGUAUUUGAUAAUUAUUAUCCAAUUUUGUAGACUAAUUAGGCUCAAAAGAUUUAUGUUGCAAAUUAUAGGCAAACGGUGUAAUUAGUUAUUUUUUAUAUCUAUAUUUAAUUCUUCAUGCAUGUGUCUAAAGAUUUGAUAUGACAAAAAAAUCUUCAAUUUUUUUGAAAAUUAAACAAGGCCUAAACUCUGAUAAAUUAAUAAGACAAUGGUCCAGAAAUUAAAGAGUUAUACCUAGAAUAUCUAGUCUACCACAUAGUAAAGCACAAAUCAAUAUCAUCAGAACCGCCAAUGGGCGGAAGAAACCAUGCCUGUCCACGUUGGGGAAGAGCGGACCGAGCCAGAAGAAACCACGCCCGUCCGUGUUGGGGAAGAUGACGGUAGUUUCCAUCGAGCAUGCAGAUCCCAUGCGCCUUCUCCCAUUCUCCCAAUGAUUAUUUCAUUAAGAAUAAACAUAAAUGUUAUUUGUCACCAUAUAUAGUUUUAUAGUUUUUCGACCAAGAAAAAAAAUCCAAGUAGCCGUUCAUUUUAAUAAAUAUAUGUUAAUGAUUCAUGCUAAUAAAUUACAAAUGUAAAUUAUACGUUUUGAUUGAAACAUAUGAUAUAUCAAUACUAGGAAUUUAGAGCCUAUUUGCUUGUCUAAAAAAUUAUAGCUGAAAAUAUUAUUUGCUAAUUUAUUAUGAGAAAAAAACACUGUUGACUGACAGAAAAAUACGGCUUAUAAAAAAAACGAAGUCUUAGUUCUAACACUCUCAUUUUUGUAGAAUAAUAUUAUAUACUUAAUAGCACUUGGAUAACCGAAACUCACCAUCUUGAGCACUAUAGGUCAUAUAGGAUGUGAGCUGAAAUGACUGUUUGUACCAUUAAAUUAACAAAGAGCAUGGUCUACGAGACAGUCAAAUUUUUGACCCAAAAAAAUAUAAAAGAAGUUUUGAAUAUAAAAUUAAUACAACAAUAAUCAGAGUUUGAACUCACACAAACAUAAAAACUAAUGAUCUAAAAAAUGGAAACUAAUAUAUAUAGACUUAUAAUGUCACAAAAAUAACGCAACAGACCAAUUAUAUAAUUUAAGCUAUGUUUUUCAACUAAAUACAUAUUAAAAACCAAUGAAGAUGUAAUACUCCCUCCAUUUCAAAUUUUAAGUCAUUCCAAGAAUCGUGUAGAGUCAAAGCAUUUUCAAGUUUGACCAAAAAUAUAGAGAGAAAUAUAAAGAUUUAUGUCAUAAAAUAGAUACACUAUACAAAUAUAACUAACAAAGAAUGUAAUGAUACUUGGUUGGUACCAAAAAUAUUAUUAUUUUACUAUAUAAAUUUGGUCAAAUUUGAAAAACUUUGACUCUCUAAGAUUCUUAGAAUGACUUAUAAUUUGGGACGGAGGGAGUAGAAAUGAUCAAUACAUAACAUAGUGUAGUUGGUACAACUAUCACGAGUGGAUAAAGUGUAUACAAGUGGGUAUAUUGUUUAAAAUAUGAAUUGAGUGUGUAAACAUAAUUGAUUUCGUCUAGUUGUACAAGCAUGCAGCAGGCUUCAGGAGUUCUUGGGCUGGGGCACAAUGGUACAUCUCCACUCCCGUGGGCCAACGUCCCAUGGGCCCAUCAUUCUUUGCGGCCCAGCCUCCGCAACACGACACUCGGAGGCCCGAGCGUGGAAGUGUGGAACGCAGGCGGCGGCGGCGGCGCUCGCAGGCUCGGCGCCUCGUUGGUUCGCCGGCUCCCUCAGGCUCCCAGUCCCGCCCUCCAGGUUGAUGUUUUCCUCAUCCACUUCCACGCCACCACACUUUCGCCUCCCCUUGAUCUGCUCUGUUUGGCCCCCGCUGCCAUGCCGCCAUCAGUCUGUCACCGUGUGCCCGUCAGUCCGCCAUGAGGAGCAUGUCGUCACAAGCUCAGCAAGUCCGGCGUUCGGGCCCUUCUAAAGAGGUGCGUUGUCCAUUACCUAAUUAACUUCUCCCGUACUUAGCUGGUGACGUGAUGUGUCAUGGUGCUCUCUAGGUGCUUGUUGAAUUGCCUGUGAGUGAGUAAAAAAGGUGUGUCCACUGUCUUGCCUGUGAGUAAAUCCUACCCUGUAUAGCAAUGAUGUGGCCUGUAAGAGAUCGCAGUCUAAGUUCACCCUAGCUUUAUUCUUGGGCAGGGUCCCCCACUGAUGCAAUGUAAGAGUUUAAACAGUGGUGGAGCACAGGUUCAUGAACUAAUUUCUCUGAAUCAAAAAAAAAAGUCCAAACCACAUGCCAAAUGCAUAUAUAGUUUGGUUGAACACCAAAUAUUUUCAUGUAGUUUACUGGAAUUAGUUCACAUUUAGCUAACAAGAUAUGAAGAUUUUCUCCACUCUCCAAGUCACAUUUGUUCCCAGCAAACAUAUAGGGAUACAUUCAGUGCAGUGAAAAAAAUAUUGGCAUAAAUCUUUUUUAAAAAAGCACCAUGAUCAUUAUUUCAACGUAGCAUUGCACCAUGAUUACUAAGGAUCCAGUUGGCUGAGCUCCCAAAGUAGGUUUCCAUCUGAAUUCAGAAACCUUUGCUACACACACACACACAGAGAGAGAGAGACAAAAAAAAACCCUCACUUCUGACUCACUUAUCGCAUGUAAUCAUUUUUUUACAUAUAGUUUAUCACAUAUAGAGAAUGCAAUGUGAACUUUCAGGUAGAGAAUCACUUCUCGAAAGCAUAGAAUUAGAAGCAUAGGGAGCUCUAUCAAAACAGGCACUAAAAGUUAUUGAACUAUGUGUUGAUAUAUUUUUUAACUCUGAAUACACAUCUGGAUCACUUGGCACUUGGAUUGUAUUCCAUGGAGAUCAAUACGAUCACGUACCUUCCCACCUCCAUUGUUACCUUUACCCAGCCAAACUAACACAAGCGGCCCUGAUGGAGCGCAACUCGGUGGCCGCAUCCUUCAUGCUGAGCCUCUGGAACGGCACUGCCCGCGUGCAGCUGAGCCCCACCCUCACAGCGGAGACCAGGCACUUGUGCUCUGAGAUAUGUGCACCGCCAUCGUUGGAGCCACAGGACACUUGGCCAUCAAUCCCUUCAACCAACAGAAGCGCCGGGUCAAGGACAUGCUCGAUCUUGUCUGGGAAUGACGCGGCAACGAACUCCAACAGCGUCAGCCCGUCCUUGAACGCGUCAUCUGUUGGUGACCUCCCAGUGAAGAUCUCCAGCAGUGUGAUCCCAAAACUGUAGACGUCGCCAUAUGUUGACACCUUCCCUGUCGUGCCGUACUCUGCACAGCACACAAAUUAAAGCAGGGUUGACACUGUCAUGUCAAUAUAUGUCUGGCACACAAGAUGUUGGAGUUACCUGGCGGGAUAUAUCCAAUCGUGCCUCUCAAACCACCUGUGCUUGUGGUGCUGCAAGUGUCGUGGCUCCCCGGCUCAAGAAGUAGCUUUGCCAGGCCGAAGUCACCCACCACCGCCCUCAUGUCGUCGCUGAGGAGAACGUUGCUGGGCUUAACAUCACAAUGGAUGAUCUGUGGUACGGAGUUGGUGUGGAGGUAGCACAGCGCGUCGGCGAUGUCCACGGAGAUGUUGAGCCUUUGGAUUACACUCAGGUUUUUCAUGAUCUUCAACUCUUCAGACUUGGGGUUCAUGUUCAACCACCUGUCUAGGCUGUAAUUGGGCAUGAACUCGAACACCAGGGCUCUGAAAUCGUUGCCCCUCGCAUCCACGCUGACACAACAGGUGAUUAUCCUGACAAGGUUCCGGUGCCGGAUGUUCCGCAGCGCCUCGCAUUCCGAUACAAAUGUCUUGGAGGCACCAAUCUGACAGAGGUCGAACACCUUCACCGCCACAGCGACCUUGUCGGGCGCUGAAGUACCCUUCAGUAGCAGGGGCAGGGUGCCCAGGUACACGGACCCAAACUUCCCUACACCAAUCAGGUUGGUGUCUGCGAAGCUGUUGGUCGCUUUGUCCAGUUCAGCGUAUGAUAUUCUCUGAUAGUUCAUCUCGUCCAGGACAUCAUCCAGCGUUGCAUCAUCAUCAGUUUUAAUUGCUUGUCCCGGCCUUUUCCUGUACCACUGGAACAUGCUGAGGAGUAUGGCCAAGAAGAGAGCGAUGCUUAGGACAGGCACCACUAUCUGGAGAAGCCAGCGAGUAGGGUGUGUGUUCCUGGCUGCUGGACACCGGGGCAGGUCGAGCUCCGGGAUGCCACCACAGAGGUUGGCAUUCCCUGUGAUCUUGAACCCGGAAAUGUUGGUGAAUAUGCCGCGGAGCGGUACACUGCCAUCAAGGUUGUUGUAAGAUAAGUCCAGCUCGAUCAGGGAGGUCAGGUUCUCCAAUUCCUCUGGAAUAGUUCCUGUCAAGUCGUUUCUGGACAGGUACAGCUCCUGCAGGCCGGACAUCUGGCUGAGGUCCGGUGGGAUGCUCCCUGACAGCCUGUUGCUCGCUAAGUUGAGCCUCCUAAGACCCUUGAGCUUGCUCAGCGACGGUGGGAUGCUUCCGUCGAAGAAAUUACCAUCCAGAUCAAGAAACUCCAGGCUCUUGCAGUUGUCCAGCUGUUUCGGCAGCUGACCGGAGAAUUGGUUCCCGGUCAAUACUAGCUGGGCAAGGUUGGUGAGGCCGGAGACAUCAGGGGGAAGUGGGCCGUCCAAUCGGUUGUCAGACAAGUCCAUCACCAAGGACAAGGACACCAGACUGAAGAUUUCCCUUGGCACGUGGCCAGUGAGGGCAUUGCCCGAGAGGUUGAGCGAUGUUAGGCGGUUCAGGUUGCCUAGAGUGUGAGGAAUGGAUCCAUUCAGCGUGUUACUGCUCAGAUCAAGUUGGAGCAGCUGGGUGAGGUUGCCGAUGGAGGAUGGGAUUGGCCCGGUUAACCUGUUCCCCUGCAUCCCCAACUCUAUGAGGUUCUUGAUAUUCCCAAUCCCUUCCGGGAUGGUGCUGUUGAAGAGAUUGGAUUCAAGGUCCAACAAUUGCAGCCGACGAGGUUGCCGAUACCCGGUGGAAUCGGCCCUGAUAUGCGGUUGUUUCCCAGGUAGAUCGCUUGAAUCUCCCUCGAGAGGCGGCCAAUGGAGCUUGGCAACUCGCCACCGAGCUUGUUGUUGUCAAGGGCAAGGCCCUGCAGGUUGCUGCAGUUGGUAAGAUGGUCCAGGAACUCCCAGCCUUGAUCGUCGCUCGCCGUUAGGUGGUUACCCGACAUGUAGAGCCACUGGGGGCAGAGCAUACCGAUCUCGGGAGGCACCUGCCCAGUGAAGCUGUUGUUUGCUAGGCUGAGCCACGUUAGAUUGGAGGCCUUGGCAAGUGCCGCGGGGAUGGGGCCUGUCAGAUUGUUGCCACCAAGGUAUAGGCCCCUGAGAUUGGACAUGCGCGCGCCCGCGUCCGGCGGGAGGACACCAUGGAACGCGUUGUUGGUGAGGGCAAGAAACUGGAGCGACGACAUGUUGAAGAAGCCGGGUGGGAUCUCUCCUUGCAGAAGGUUCUGGUAUGCGCUGAACGUCUGGAGGGAAGGAAGAUCCAUGAGGCCAAGGGGCAGGCUGCCUUGCAGGUAAUUCUCAUCGACCCUGAGGGCCUGGAGCUUCGUGAGGUUGCCGAGCGACGGCGGGAUCUUGCCGGACAGGGAGUUGAGGUGCAGGUACAGGUAGGUGAGGUUGGGAAACGUCCCGAGCCACGUAGGGAUGGCGCCGGUGAGGCUGUUGUUGUUGAGGUAGAGGAAUCUGAGGCUGGUGCAGCUGCGUAGGCUUUCUGGAAUCUCCCCACUGAUGCCGAUGUUGUCGCAGAGGUCGAGGUACUGUAGGCGCCGCAGACUGCCGAUGCUAUCCGGGAUGGUCCCGGAGAGCUGGUUCUUCUCGAGGACGAGGUACUCCAGGUAUGUAAGGUUGCCGAUGGCAGGGGAGAUGGUGCCGGUGAGCCCAAGGCUGGAGACGUUCAGCGACGUGACAUGCCCGUCCGUGCACGCCACGCCAGGCCACCGGCAGAAGUGCGAUGUGCUGUUCCACGACUGGAGAGCACCAGACGACGACGCGCCCGACACGCCAGCCCUGAACGCCUGCAGCGCGUCCCGCUCGAUGUUGGAGUGGGACCGCUGCACGCCUGCCGCUAACAGCAACAUGAUCAGCAGCAGAUGCAGCUGCAGUGCGUGCGUUCCAGACGUGCGUGCGCCUGCCAUGCUCUCACGGUCGGAUGCCCAGGCGCGCACAGCGCAGGUCAUCUUGUGUGAGAUUCUGCGUGGUUUCUCCUUUCUAAUGUGUGCUAAUGGCAAGGCCUUGGCAUGUGCAGGCUUAUAUGGGUGUUGUGGCGGGAAGCUGCUGCUGAUGAUGAUGAUGAGUACAAACAGAGAGCAUGCAUGUGUGUCUGCUCUUGUUUCAGAGUUGUGCUGAUCGAACAGUCCUGCAACAACUCUUCAAUUUAGGCAGGUGACUUCGUCCUACACUUGUCUUGACAGCGAUCAUUACGUGCGUAGACUUGACUAAGUGACUUUUUCUAAGUGACUUUUUCCACAUGAGUAGCGGACUAAAGCUAGACUGUUCUUGGUGUCCAUUAUUGUUUGACAAUUUUUCUUCAUGGUGAUUUGACAUACCAGCCAAUUCAAACACAGUAUGGCACUGACGACACGGACUGAAACCGAACGCGGAGUUGAUGGCGGUGGUAAUUCGGUUAUGAGGAUAUUGUCCUUUGAUCGUUCUUGCUGACUUUGCUCUUUACGUAUCAAUCCAGAGGACUGACUGGCUGAGCAUAUAUGCUGCACAUAUUUCCAUAAUUGUGCUGGCUUUUCCUCUGCAGGGAUUCUCAAGUCUGCUGAGGCAAUUUCCUGGGUUCCAUCGUGUGUCUCCUUGCUGAGCUAGAAGUUCAAAUGGGCAAGACGUUUGAAUUCUUAGCCAGCUUUACCUCAGGUUCUGCACUGGCAAGGUUUUUCUUGCCCAGACAUGCUAGCCAAUAUGGCUCGCCGAGGCGAACAAGGUUUUGCUUGCCUAGACAAGCUAGGCGAGGCUAGCUGGCCGAGAGACCAAGCAGCCUCCUAAAAUUACAACUAGGGCCUUGUUUAGUUUCACCCAAAAUUCAAAAACUUUUUAAGAUUCCGUCACAUCGAAUCGCGCGGCACAUGCAUGAAACAUUAAAUAUAGAUAAAAAAACUAAUUACAUAGUCUGUCUGUAAUUUGUGAAAUGAAUCUUUUGAGCCUAGUUAGUCCAUGGUUGGACAAUAUCAAAUACGUUUGGCUGAUAAGCCAUGGUAGAAAGUACUGUUGGCUGAUUUAUUGUGUGAGAAAAACACUGUUGAUGGCUGACAGAUUCGACUGAUAAGCUGAAGUGAACAAUAGUGAGGGAACUAAACAAGGCCGGAAACAUGCUAGUUCAUUGUGACGUACAAUUUGUUGUAUUGUAUUUAUGCGAAUAAUAAUGUGCUAAAUAUUUUUCUGGAUCCAAUUGGGUUUGGCCCAACCUUAAAUAAAAAUCUAAGAGCCAUAAUAAAUGGUAGUGCAAUAAAGGAUUGAUCUCAUAUGCAAUAACUUAAAUGGGUGGCGUUUUGUGCAUGUUGUGAUCUUAAGAAAGUAUAAGGGACCGUGACUUAAAAAAAAAUUUCAGACGAAGAUAGAUUGGCUCUGAGAGACGCGAGCGCGACUCAUCGUCGGGGAACAGGGGUCACGGUGAUGGGUUAUUUGGUCAUGGGCAUUUUGUCAUCCUCCUUCAAAAUUACUGACAUGGUCAAACAAGUCAACUAACAGAAGGAUGGAGGAAAUGGAUGGUAAUGCUAUUUAGGGGAGGCAAUUUCAGUUCGGUUCUAGACAAGAAACUUUGAUUCCGGGAGUAUCUUAGAAGAAAGAUUCAUUUUUUACGCUGCUGCAUGAUCGGGCAUUAGCACCGGUCGGAAAGGGCCUGUUGCCCCGGUUCCCGAGCCGGUGCUGCCCUUCCGGGACUAAAGGCCCACCCUUUAGUCCCGGUUCGGGCAACCGGGGCUAAAGGGCCCCCCCCGCCCUUUAACACCGGUUGGUAAUACCAACCGGUGUUAAAGGGUCCUGCCAGGGCUGCCAUGUUGCAGGACCCUUUAACACCAGUUGGUAGGGUUUUUUUUUCUUUUUUUUGUUUCACUUCUUCGGUACUGUUUAUUGUUUAUAUAUAAUAUAUAAUAAUAGGUUUUUCAAUACAUGUUUUUCUGAUACAAUAAUAUAUUUAUAUUACACGCAUAUUAAGCAUAUAUAAAUGAAAAUUAUAGGCUUAGCUUAAUAAUUAAGCUUUGCCUAUAAUAAAAUGAAUAGACCACAUCAAAAAUUAAAUAGAUAUGUAAAAAGCUUUAUAUAUAUAGUUUUAUAUGUACAAAAUUCGUAACACAUAUAUACAUAGAGUUUUUUCUCCCAAUGUCUACAAACGAUACAAAUGAUCAUCGUUGUUUGGAAUAAGAGUUUCGUUGCUGUUGAAGUGAAACUCGCCGUUUGGAUUGAUCACUUGGUCGCGGAGAAAUCCUGCUAUCGUCUCUUGGAUAGCUUUGAUUCGGUCUUGUUGUAGGACCUUUUCCCUCAGCCAUUCCGUCUUUAAUUUGAAAUAAAUUAAAAAGGUAUUAGUUAUCUAAGUUGUUCAAUAUAAUUCAGGAGAUAAUGAAAAGAGACAUGUAACGUACUCUGAGCGUCUCUAUGGGUGUUUGAUUGACUUGUGCCAUCAUGAAUUUACACACGUAAUAUGCACAUAGAUUGUUCCCCCCUUCUUGUCUUAAACACCACUGUACGAUAUAUAUAUAUAUAAAUAUUCACGACCACGACAAUAAAAAGGCUAAAAGUUAGCGAAAGUUUGUUAGCUAGUAGAACUUACUUGUGGAUGUAUUAUGUUAAGCGGCGCUUUACAUCCACUGAGAUGUUCACGGUCAAUGAAUCUUUCCCAAACCCUAUACACAGCCAUUGUGGAUCGUGAACUAAUAAUUACAGAGUCAUAUUAUGAUAUUUUUGUAGCUGAGAUCGACAUUACGUACCUUUGAAUAAUGUUUACCAUUUGUUGAUAAUUUUCUUGUGGUUUUCUCAUUGAGUCAAAGAUUAUCAACCGGUUCUUGGGAAUUUCAAUGACCAUGAGUAUCCAGUGAAAGCUGUUUACACACACAUAUAUAUAGUCAGUCCUAUAAUGUAAAAUAAAAUAUGCAUGCACUUAAUAACUAUAUAACUAACUCGAAGUUGAAGGGGAAGAGUAUUUUUUGUUUUUCUUUUUGGUUUACAAAGAACCUCAUAAGAUUGGUGCAGACUUCUGUCUCAUGAUCUGCUGUCCACACCUGCGGAGCCUUGAAAACAAUAUAAGGGUUAACGAACCCAAUACUAUUGUCAUUUUUCAUUCUGAGCUCUCUCAUUUGGUGCCUGCAUAUAUACAUACAAAUCCUAAGUGUGUAAGGAUUAUAUACAUGUAAUUAAAGAAGUUAGAAGUAUAAUAAAAAGAAAAAAAUACUUACAGACAAAAGCAGCUGACAAGAGAUUUGUCAAGAGCGUCGAGGUGGCAUAAUUGGUGCAAUUCUUCGAACUGCACGUAUAUGAGGUCAUCUCCACGGAAGUAGUGAUGUUGUCUAAUACGAACAGAAAUCCAAUUAUCUUCCCUUUUAGACGCCUCAAUGCACCAUUUGUUUAUUGCAAACAUUUGUGUGCCGAGCUCGUGUAAACGCUUAGGGUCGAAUAGACUCCUGCCCGGUUCAUAUCUUGCCCUCCAUUGAUUAACUACCUCGGCUUUUUCAAAUGUUUGACAUCCAAGAAUGGCGGCAAUUUCUUCCAUAUUUAAACCGCUCUGUCCAAAGUAACGCUCAAGCGAGUCUAGCUCAGACAACACUAAGGAUUUUUUUGGCAUCAAGUCUUCAUUUGAGCCGUAUUGAUUUGGCACAAUCAAAGGGGGCACCGGUUUUGAUACUUCUCCGAGCUGUGGGACCCCCUUUCCUACUCUCUUCUUAGUAGGCUGUGAAGACUUGACCAGAGACCGCUCAUAGUCCGAAAGUGCUGGCUUUUUCUGAGCUUCGCGUUGCUUCUUUUGAUGGUCCGCCACCUUCUGCCUCAGUUCCGAUGGCUUCACAUAAAAGUACGGCUUUUCUGGGUUAAGCCGUUUUUCCCUAUCCUCCUUUAUUUUAUCAAAAAAUUGUUGGACCUCAGCUUUGGAUGUAGCAAUUACCUCCUCUUCACUCUUUUCGUAAGGUAAUUUUUCUGGCGUCUUAGCUCUCUUUGCUGAGGCAGCCUUCUUUGGAGGUAGGACCGAUGACUUCGGUCCUUCUUGGGCGGACCGCUUCUUACUACCUCGCUUUGGAGGCGAGGGGACCGACCGUGCACUCUAUGGAGAGGGCGGUGCAGGCGGUGGAGGUGGUGGGACAACUAAUGGCCUUAGGUAGACAUCUAUGUCAUUGCCAGGUUGCUUCGGUCCUUGGAUAAGCACCGGCAUCAUAAUAAACUUCCGCUUCAUGCAUAGCCAUGAAGGAAGGUUGUAGAUACAUAGAGUAACUGGCCAAGUGCUGUGACUACUGCUCUGCUCACCGAAAGGAUUCAUACCAUCUGUACUUAAGGCGAACCGCAAGUUUCUAGCAUCAUUUGCAAAAUCUGGGAAUUCUCUGUCUAUCGCUCUCCACUGGGAUCCAUCGGCAGGGUGUCUCAGCAUAUUGUCUAUCUUACGGUCUUCUUUAUGCCACCGCAACAACUUUGCAUUGUCCUUAUUUCUGAACAGACGUUUUAAUCGUGGUAUUAUAGGAGCAUACCACAUAACCUUGGCUGGAAUUUUCUUCCUAUGACGUUCUUCACCCUCAACAUCGCCAGGAUCAUCUCGUCUAAUCUUAUACCAUGAUGCCUUACAUACUGGACAUGCAUCCAAAUUCUCGUAUUCCUCCCCACGGUAGAGGAUGCAGUCAUUAGGACAUGCGUGUAUCUUCUGGAUUUCUAAUCCCAAAGGGCAGACAACCUGUUUUGCUUCAUACGUAGUGGUGGGCAAUUCGUUGCCUUUCGGAAGCAUCUUUUUUAUGAUCUUCAAUAACUGCCCAAAUGCCUUGUCAGAUGUACCAUUCUUUGCCUUCCAUUGCAGCAAUUCUAGUGUGGUACCCAGCUUUUUUUGCCCCUCUUCAGCAGUGGGAUAUAGCGAUUUCCUGUGGUCCUCUAGCAUGCGCUCGAACUUGGCUUUCUCUUUAUCACUUUCACAUUCUCUUUGUGCAUCACGGAUGGCAUCACCAAAAGCAUCAUCGCCCCGAUCAUCUUCUGCCGCCACCUCUUCUUCAUUAUCUCCCCCCAUUGCAACAUCAUUGAAGCCACCGUACUGAGCAAUAAUAUUGGCAUGGUCCAAUUCUUCUUCUUCUUCUUCUUCACCUUCAUCCAUUAUAAUCCCGCUUUCUUCAUGUUUGGUCCAACAAAUAUAGUUUGGUACGAAACCAGACUUUAAUAAGUGUGAAUGAAGAGUUCUUGAGUUAGAAUAUUCCGUCAAAUUCUUGCACACGGCACAUGGACAGCACAUGAAACCGUCCCUCUUAUUUGACUCGGUCACACUUAAGAAAUAGUGCACGCCAUUAAUGAACUCUUCGGAGCGCCGAUCGACAUUAUACAUCCAAUUACGUGUUACCAUCUGCAUUAAAGAUAACAUAUAUAUUAUGAAAACCAUGCACACAUAUAGUUUCUCAUCUUAUUGCACAACAUGUCUAAGAUACAUAGUUGAUUAAUUUAGGAAAGCUUGGCUACAACAAAUACAAUCGCAACUAGCAUUAAAAAACAAAACUAAAAUGCACUUAAGCAACAUAAUUAGUUCGCGUCCGAUCCCAACUAUAAUAGAUAGAUCAUUCGCUUGAUCAACAUCAUUGAACUCAUUUCGUCGGCUCACUGCCUCACCACCUUCAGCCUCAACCACCUGUGCAAAAGAUUUCUUAAUGUGUUCAAUGUAUUCUUCCUCUCAGUACCAACCUGUACAUCCGCCGGUACCGUCCCACUGAAAUUAAAAGAGAGAAUCAAAAGUUUAAUUAAUAUCAUUUAAAAAAAUAUGCACAUAUAUAAGCAAAUGUCUGGAAAUAACUCACAUUACGAUCUAGACACUUGUAGAAUAUACGACCCUUGUUUACUCCCUCUUUCGACACUUUGUACUCCAUCAAAAUCUUCUGCCCACACUUGCCACAAGUAAUGAGAGGGAGUUCCGGACGGUAUCGCUUUUGAACCCGUUGAGAGACCGAAGACCCGGUCACGGUUGCCAUCUACUAUCCAUACUCAAUUUUUAAACAAUUAUAAAUUCCACAUUUACUAGUAAACAUGUAUGAUACAAUGGACAUUAUAUGUAGUAAUAAAAAUAAAUCAAGUGAUAUUAACAAACCAAUUAAUUUGAACUAUCCUACUUUCUAUGAUCAUAAAAAUAUACUAUAAUUCAUUCUUGCAAAAUACAUUAAAACUAGGUCAACCAUGAAAUAUGAUAUAUAUAUAUAUAUAUAUGGAUACUAAUUCAUGUGAAUGAUUUAAAAUAACAAAGUGGAUUUGAGCUAAAAAAUGAUGGGAACAUCACAAGCCAAAAACAACAUGAAAAAGACAAGAAAGGCUGAAGUUAGUCACCUCCAAGCACGAAGAGACGAUGACGGAGUCGAAGAAGAUCAACGAUGGGCGUUGGAGAUGAAGAACAAAUGAAGAACAAGCAAGAAGAAGCUCCAAGAACAACAAUGGUGCUCUCGGUUUCAAAUAGGCAGAGGGGAGGAGGGAGCCGGCCUAUAAACCGGACCUUUAGCACCGGUUCAGGGCAAAAACCGGUGCUAAAGGGUUACCUUUUAGCACCGGUUUGUAACACAAACCGGUGCUAAAGGGUUUGCCUCGGCCCGUGGCUCUGGCCGGUGCUAAAGGGGUCUUUAACCCCGGGCCGCAAAAAGGCCGAGGUUUUUGGCCAUUUUGAGCAUCGACCAAUGCCUCAUUCUGUAAUUAAGUGAUAUAUAUAAUUCUCUCAACCGAUAUCCAUGUCAGUGAAAGCCAAUUUACCGGCACGGACGAGCCGGCGUGUCGACCAGCUGGACCACGUGUAUAGAAUGUUGCACGCAUUGACGGACACAUGUUCCAAAAUAUCCAGCUGUUUGAUCGAAUUUCACACAUUCAGCAAGAUUCUAGCGUUGGCUAGAAAUCGUAUUGACUAUUGACUAAUACAUUGGUAUGUUUGGUUGCUAAUUACAAUAUGAUCUUAUCCAAUUUCUUUAAGCAUGACAGAGCAGCGGCUCUUAGGAACACUUCCAAAUACACAUGUGGUCACAAAUAAUGGUCGGCCGGCGAGAAAGUCUCCUAGAAACUAUAUAUAAUUUCUAUAUUUAUUAAUUUUUAUAGAUAAUAUAUAAAAAAUUUAUGGUUUCGAUGAAUAGUUUCAAUAGAAUAAUUUUUUAUCCAAUCACAUUUAUUAUAUCUCCAUUUUCAACCAAUCAUAUCACUUAAUGUAUUGUAUGUUGUGUAGACAUGGUUUCUAAUUUAGGUCAGUCUCAACUCUCAAUGCAUAGUUUCAUGGUACAGUUACUAAGACUAUAAACUAGGUAAGCGAGCCAUAUGAGUUUCAUGGGGAUGAAACUCCUCUCUCAUCUGAUGAAACUACUUCUUCAUUUAAUGACUCUGCCAAGUUAGCAAUUUUACUUAUGUGGCACCCUAUUUAAUGCACAUGACACUCUCAUGAACACAUGCAUUGAGACUAGCCUUAGACCUAGUUUCUAUGAUUUUUGCUCUUUCUUCAAUAACUAUCUUGUCACAUCAGUAAAAUACUUAGGCUAGUCUCAGUGGCUUGUUUUAAUGCACUGUUUCCAAAACAAAUCCGCUGACAAGGCAUCAAUGAAACGAAUAAUGAAACAACCUCCACAAUGCAUGAGUUUCAUCUUGAUGUUUCCUAGGCUAGGCAAAUCAUUUAAUUACUGCAAAAUGAUUGGAUCACAUGCAAGAUGGUGAAACGAUUUAGCCCUAAGUGGGGAUUUCAUCCAAUUUCACCGCGUGGGAAACAACGACCGCGGGUGAAACUACUUCCUUCUCUCUCCUCUUUAUUUCAUGCAAAAAGUGCAAUUUUACUGACACGACGCUCUAAUAAAUGUGCAUGACAUCCUGGUGAAACCUCCACUCAAACUGGCCUUAGAUGACACUACAAUUAAUAUCAUUAUGUAACCAUGGCUUUACUGUGCACGCCGUGCAAUACCAAGCAUAGAUACGGUCAGCACACGCAGCUUGACCAUAUAGCUAGCUAGGUCGCUCGUGGCUUCGUGUUAGGUAGCUCAAUAACACCUACAAAUAGGAGGGUUGGCCGCUGGAAACAAUGGCCACGGCAACAACUGCAGGUCAACCAAUCAACAUAUACGGCCGCGCGCCCUCGAUCACAUGGCCAUGACGAUGGCGACCAGAUCAGUAACCGGAACGGCGGUGCUGUGCUUUCUUGUGGCCUCGCUCCUCCUGGCCGCCUCCUCCUCCGUUAUUGCUGCAACUGCAACGACUGAAGCAGCAGCGGCCUACGGUAGGUAGUCGCGGUGUUCAUACAGUCCCUCAUGCUUUCACCGAACGAACACAGCUACGUACGCUGCUGCAUCUAUCUAUAUAUUCUUAUAUAUGAUCUGAAUAUAUCUGUCGUCGACCGUGCCCUGGUGCAGGUGCAGGUGCAGGCAGGAAGAUGAAGCAGACAGCAGCUGCGGGAGCUGUGGCAACGAAGCAGGAUGACUACGGCUACCCUGGAACUAAUGAAUUACCACCGGGAUACCCGACGGCGCCUGGAAUGAAUUAGUAGUUGCCUCUCUUGAUCUGGCAGCUAGCUACCUGCCGCGGUUGGUCGGUGGAGAACCCUGCAGGCUGCAGCUAUAUAUAUAUAUAUACUAUACAAUACAAUACAUCAUGCGCAUGAUGCAGAAUUACCAUCUCGCUGAAUACAGAUACAGAAAUUAGAUUGCUUUUGAUACAAUCCAACCUCAUGAGUCAUGUCUCGCGCGCUAAGUAAUUGGCAGCUACGUACGCGAGCCUGCCUGUUACACUGUGCUAUACAGCAACUGUACGUAUGCUAUAAGCUGUAUUUUGUUUGAAAUAAAGACCAGCUUUGGGGCACCGGGCAUGCACCAAUACUCUCAAUCUUCUUAAACGACUAUCCUUGUCUUUUCGUGAAAUAUAAUCCUGGAAGUUUAUUAUUAGGCCAC
This 65612-nucleotide long non-coding RNA is filed under the name Sorghum bicolor (sorghum). Its description in RNAcentral is "long non-coding RNA (SBIC_LNC009203)". The stretch from base 11805 to 11911 matches the Rfam family "Plant small nucleolar RNA R71". The record is from RNAcentral. Lineage: Eukaryota; Viridiplantae; Streptophyta; Magnoliopsida; Poales; Poaceae.